UACCUUUCACCAUGGGACUUGUAACCGUCACUUCUGUCUUGAGUAGUUAAAAGAUAGAACAGUCUAGCCAAGUGCCAUGUCUCUUAUUCUUGAUCAGCUAUAGCUCUGGAGUUUUUGCAGAUUUUCAAAUAAAACUCAGAGAUUCCUUGUAUGACUCUCUAAAUCUCUCUUUUGUGGUAUUUCUGGAUCCUUACCAAGGCAGUGAUGGUAUAUGCCUUCUCUCAAGAUAUGUGGUAUUUGUGGUAUAAGGCAUAGUGAUAUUGCCUUCUCUCUCACCCUACUCUAAUAAGGCUUUAAUAUCUGUAGCUCAUAGGUGGGAGACAGCUAAUACAUACUUACAAGACAUUUAUUGCAUAGUCAAACCAUGGAUCCAGAGAAACAAGUCAAUAAGUCAAAUCAAGAUGUGCAUGUGUGGCGAAUGAAUGGUGUAUGGUGAUGAUGGUAAUAACAAUGGUGGAAGUCUAAUUCUACUUUUGCUCUUUUGAGGGGAUACAUACCUUCCUUGCUUUUUGAAACUUUAUGAGGAGAAUGAGAUGCUCUUCUUUUUCUUUCCUCUCAGGUGGGUAUCCUGUAUCCCUAAUUCUACUGUCGGACACUUGUCCAUUUUUACCUCUUGUCUCACUUUUUCUUUCUUUCGAGGUUCCGGGCAGUUGCCCCUUUUUAUUUCCUCGUUUAUUUUUUUUCUUCUCUUUUCUCUUUUUUUAGAGCACUCAUCUCUUGAGAUAAUAUAGCAAGUGGUAGUAGCAAGAUAACUUGAGCAUUUAUUUCACAAGGGAAAACAGAAAUAUUUUUGGCUAUUCUCUCCCAGAUUAGGAGUAGAAUAUUUUUAGGUGGUUCUGGAGAUGGACAUGGAUGGAUAUAUGUGGAUGGUACUUCCGGAGUAGAAGUAGCAUAUAUGAGUGAAUGUGCAAGUGAAUCUUGAUUUAACCACAUGACAAGCUCCUAAGGGUCUACACAGCUUGACCACACUCAAUGCUAAUAAGCAGUAAAUAAUAAAUGUGUGGCUCAAAGUCUAGCAAGCAUGUAUAUAUGGUUGUGGUAGGAAUUUAAACUCUCAUCAUACAGGAACUCAUCAUGCAAUAUUUUACAGAUUUUUCAAAGAUAAAAUUCUCCAGAAUUCUAGCAUCUAUAGGAACAGAUAAACAGCAGCUCAACCUUCCCAUAUCAUAUCCGUUAACAACUUAGAUUUCAGAUCAAGUUUUCAUUCCACAAGUUUAGAUCUAGAGCAAGCUUUAAAUUAUAACAGUUAUGUCUAAACUUGAGAGAGAACUUCAAAUUUGCAAAUUAGGCAGAGCAACUAUUCAUCAUAUCCAUGCUAGAGUUUUAUUAUUAAGAUUUAGAUUAGCAUAGCCACUUUAUUUAUUUAUUAAACACACUAAGCAAAAGAUAUAUAUAUAAGCACAAAAUCUUUAUUUGGUUUUUCAUAGGUUAUGUAUUUUAAUAUUCUAAUAUAAUAUAAGUAUAGAGAUAGGUAGAAAUACUUAGCGAGAUAAAUGGGGGUGCCCUUCCCCAAGCUGAAUUUUGACGUAAAUUCUCUUGAUGUAGCUAGCAGGUGGCAGAGGUGUAUUUGGAAGUCAGCAGCAUUCCCACAGCGAUUAGAAUGUCCUCCGUCUGCUAGUCUUCUUGAUUCUUAAAUUCUGUGGAGCUCAUAUAGACAACAAAACUUUUGGAACUAAUUAAGUGUUAGCAUAAAUAUCUAGCCUUCAUCAUGUUGAGCUUCCCCAAUAAAUAUUACUCCCUGUUUUUAUAUUUUUAUUUUAUAAGGCAGAAAAGAAAUAUUUAUUUUAUUUUUAUGCCACCACAGUGAAGGUACUUAUGGGUUUUAUGCCACUCGUAUACUCACAUGGGGCUUAGUAUUUUUUAACAUUUUUAUUUUCUUUUCAAGAUAGCAUGAUUAACUAAUAAUCUAUUUAGGGAAAGUAAAUAAUUAAAAGGAAAAGGGAAUGCAGGAAGGAUAAAUAUGGAUAACUACCGAUCUUACCUUUCGGCGAUGGUUCAAUGUUUUAAGUCUUCUUAACAAGACUUCUCACCGUGUUCAUUCUUUAGGUGCGUCAUUUGAUUCAGGUGCAGACCUUGACGUCUGCACCUCUUGAUACGGUGUCACCCAUGUUCUUCGUUUGCCCAGCAGUUCGAAGUGUGGCGUUGGCAGUAACCUACUCAGUGUGUUUGUGCUCGUAGAUCCAGGUCCUUCACUUGGUAGAGUCUGAGAGUUAUAGAACUCCUCCGUGUUUUGCUCGAAGUGUACCUGCUCAUAGAGACAAGGCAGAGAUCAAGUGCAUGGGUCCUGUUGGUGGAAAACACCAACAGAACCUAAAGUGUAUUUGUUCUUCUCUAACCCUAAGCAUAGUGAGCAAGACAAAGUUGAUGGAUGAAAAGUUCAUGAGUGUAGCACUUAUAACAUUUGUCAGAUCAGAUUCGCUCAACCUUAUGGAAAGAUAAUCUAUCUAUGUAUAUGUCUUUUUCUUUAUAUUUGUCAAUGAUUGAAUGUGUAACAUUUUAGCUCAUAUGUUUAGGAGUGUGGGAUCAUGGAGGUUGUACUAAGAACAAGGAUUAAAGGACUAAACAUGUUGAAUCAGUUGGGUUGGUUAGUCUAGAGUUGUAAAUCAUAUAUGUUUGUCUCUUUUAUUUAUAUGAACGCCAAAACCAAGGAGAAGCUUAUAAAAGUGAUAGUCAAGUACCUUAAGAUGUUACCUUGCUUGAAGAGUGAUGGUACAGUAUCACCUUGUGGAAGCUUUCCUUUCUUAGCGGUUGUGCAUCGUGUUUGUGGCACCCUCCAUGGAUCAUCUCUCUAUGAUGAAUGAGCUAUGUCCUUCUUGUGCAAAUUGUUAAACUUCAUGUGUCACUCUCUUCAUCUCUGAUGUGAGUUUAUCUCAGGACUUCCCAAAUCGAUAUUGAAAGUUUUUCUGCAGGGGUUAGUCCGACAAAAAUAUACCAAUGUCUACACAAGCAGUUUUUUAGUUCAAUAACCAAACUAGACUCCAUGUCUAAUCAGAUUAAGGAAGGCUGUUUAACCUAAGCACCAUGCUUAAUUUAAAAGCCAAUAGAAGUAUGUGCAGUACUUCCAAACUAACACUUACUAGUAAAUAGACAAAGGUAACAUGACAACAUUUAUAGAGAUCUACUCAAGUGGAGAUGUAGUAGUGUGAUUAGUCUUUAACAAAUUGAGCAUGUCUUAAAGGUAGGGACAACCAACAUAGCAACAUGGCAAAGGAUGUUUUUAUAUAAAGUACUCCCCCAAGCUUGAAUUUUGCAGAAUUCAAGUUUGGUUGAAUUUAAUUCAAUGUUGUAUGAUGAUUGGUUGGACAUACCUUGUGCUUGUCAUUCAUCUGAUCUUCUUGCUCCAAUCCUGUAAAGGUUAGUGACAAGAAUACCCGAAGGAAUAUUUUUACAAUUAUCCUUAUAUGUUCAAUACACAAGGUAAUGUUGUAAAUGAUUAAAAGCUCAUGUUACGAUUUGAUCAGUGCUUAUUUUAGGACACUAAGCUUGUUCUUGGGAAACCAUCAAUUUAUGUCAGCGAAGUGGUUUCCCUUCCAACGCUGACCUAUAUCAAGAUCAACUCAACGAGAUCUGCAAUAUUUAUUAUAGACAUAUGCAUCGACAACCGCCCUUUUAAAGUUUUUAUAAAUAGAAAGGAAGAGGGGGUUGGAGAUCUCAAAUGUGGUGAUGUUGGAGAGACCAAUAGAUUGGGAAGAUGUUGCAUAUGAGCAUGGAGUAAACAAAGUGGCUAUGAAAUAAAUUCCAUGCUCAUUAAUGUUAUCUUCGUCUCCAAUCUGAAUGUUCAGAGUUUCUCCUGGAUUAGUCUCACCUAUGUCCUCUUCUGUAGCUGGGUGAAUCUCAUCUUCAAAGGGUGUCAAGAACUCACCAUUUGAAGUUGAGCCAAAUUCAGAAUUCAUUAAGGCUUCUUCCUUAUCCAUCCAUUCUACACAUUCUAGCCAGUUAGAACUUGUGAUUAGGAAAGGGGAGGUGUUAGAAUUUUCAAUAUGGCUUAGCUCUCCUUCACUUGAUAUGUCAUCCUCGACUUCUUCAUAACAGGAACCAGGACAUUCUCUAAGAGAACCAUUAUUGCGAGGAUUCAAAUUAUCCUGCUUGAAGGUCUCUUAUGGAACCAGAAGUCUAAACCAUCAGCAUCUGAAAGAUUUAAGGUCGGAAUUCCUUCCUCCCUUGGAGAAUUUUGGGGUAUUGAUGGUUUAGGAUCGAUAGCUAAAGUUUGGAAUUGAAAUGGUUGUGAUCUGGCUAUCGAAACUUCUUCUUCUAGUCUAGGAACUGGUUCUGUCUCUUUCUCAGGGAUAUAAAAGCUAGGAGACUUUCCACUUAAUAAAUCAAUCAAAUUCCAAGCUUCACUAGUAGGUAGGUGAUAGAAGGAUCCUCUAGAGGCUGUAUUCAAGGUUUGCUUAUUUUCCCCACUAAGGCCCUCAAAAAAGUGAAUUAGAAGAACUUCUUCUGGAAUAGAAAGUUUUGGGCCAGUGAGAGUAAGGUUAAUAAAGCGGUCCCAUGAUUUGUCAAGAGAUUCUUCUUCCAGUUGUCUAAAAGAAAUAAUCUCACGCUGAAGUUCCGCCACUUUGGAGAUUGGAAAAUAUUUAGAAAGAAAACUACUAUAUAACUCCUUCCAAUCUCCAUGAACACUCCCUAUUUUGAGUUUGUACCAAUGUCUAGCUUUUCCCGUUAAAGAGAACAGAAAGAGCUUCCAUUUAAGGGUCUCAUCGGACAUUCCUUCUAUGCGAAGGAGGUCACAGACUCGAUAAAACUCUCUUAGGUGUGUGUAUGGGUUUUCAUCACCUUCUCCUGAGAAAGGUUGUUUUUGAACAAAUUCUAUGUAUUCGGGGUCUAUCUCAAAACUAGAUGCUAUGAUAGGCUUUGAAGAUUUUGGUGGUUCGAGAUGUGUGCCCGUAGGUCUAUGAAAUUCAUAGAUAGACAUGUUUGAAUUCAUGAUAGACCAGAGAUCAAGGAUUAGAUAAGAAGAAAGAUUAGCAGAGAUGAGACAAAGGAUAAAAGGAAAAUAUUUUUUUUUAUUUUUUUUAGAAAAUGAUUAAGCUAGUUCGUAGUCAACUCAGCAACCGUUUCCCCGGCAACGGCGCCAAAAAUGCUUGUUGACACUUGCUAACACCAUUUGAAUACUAGGUUGUCAUCCCCAGCAUGGCACUAGAGUGUACUAUGGUAUUUAUACGCACACAGAUAAUCCACAAGCGCACGGAUACCGUUGAAGCUUUUACCCGGUUAAAGGUUUUAUCGUAUCCAUAGGGAAACGGGAGAACUGAUCUACGCUCUAACUUAACCAAGAAAGAUAGAUAAGUGUAAAUAGGAAAGAUGGUAGAAUUGAAUAAGAACAAUAUUAAAGGUAAGAUAACAGUGAGUGAUAAUAUGGGAAUAGAGAGUAGAGCAAUUCUAGUAUAUGGGCGAUGGUAGCAGAAUAGAGAGGAUAACUAUGGUUUCUCUACUUCAAAGGAGUAUGUCUAUGUCUGGGACGAACCACGUGAUAAGAGUACACCACAAAGGAUGCUUAUCCUUAGGCCGAUAAACCCUACCCGUCCUGCUAACGAGAGGUGGACUACAGAGGACCAACGUAACUGUCACCUACGCGGCCUACCACAUGAUCCAGCUAGACAGGGGAUAUCCACAAGUAAUCUAGAUCUAAGCACCUCGCUUACACCUAUACUACAACUUUCACCUAUAGCGUCCUAUAGAUUAAAGUACUCAAAAGAGUUGUGAACCAGAACAUACAAGAUUAGUAAUUGCAUAAUGAAUUAGAAGUAGAUUACCAGAAUCAUCCCAUGAGCAAGCUUGAUUAGAGCUUGAUCAUGACGAAGUACAACCGGAGGAAGAACCGAUAGGCCGGCCUCUCCUCUAAUCCUCCUUCGCUCUCCAUCUUGCUACUAUCUAGAUCUACUCUAGUUUAGAGAAGAGAGGAGAGCUCUCAACUCUAAACCCUAGCUUUUGCUCUGUCAAUGAAUAAUGAAUAAUGAUCGAGGGGUGCCUCCUCCAGGGGCCAGGGGGUCUGGUUAUAUAGUCUUUUCAGAUGAAUCUAGGCCGUCGGAUCAAACCGACAUUGAUCGUGUGGUUUUCCUUGAAGUAUUAGGUCGGUGGAGCAUGAUCCGCGAAGUUGAAGCUGAUUGGUUACUGUAGCUGGGCGGGCACCCAAGGGACUUGGGUGGGCGCCCUGCGCCCGGGCCCGAUCGACCUCCCGUUCGUUCCCGUGGCUUCUGGAGUCUUCUAGAUGGUAGAAAAUUGCGCGACACGUUAAUAUCUCUAUGUAAACCCGACGUGUGGGCCUUUCUUUCAUAUUUCCUGAUAACCCCCUGCAGAAAUAGACAAACACCAAAACUCGUGGAAUUCUGUCGGAUAAAACACUAAGUUUAGAUGUAGGUUGUAUUUGGAUCCUUUUCUUUGUUUAUUUGCUUAUUAUAUUUGUUACUUAAGGACCAUCAACAAUGUACAGGAGUUGAAUUCAGGAAAUGUAGACACCAUCAUCACCGAAGCACCCCGGUAUGGAAGCCUCGAGUAGGCUAGCGCCAUACCCCUAUCGAGGCUUAUUCUAAUGCCUACACCCUGUAACCUAGGUCUCCCCUUGGAACUAUAAAAGAGGAUACUGAGGAUGACACGAGAGGAGAGAUAUACAACGCAACUCACAGAGCACAAUUCUCACACACCACCAUCGGCUAGGACUUAGAACUCUUAGCCACAUCCACUUGUAUUCACCGCUAUACAAGCACUUAGGUGCAAGAUAAUACAAAGUCUCCCCCCACUGGACGUAGGGCCUUCUCUUGACCGAACUAGGAAAAAUCUUUGUGUCUUUCUUGUAUCACCAUCCAGAAAAGGGAGCAUGCACACAAAUUCACUCGUUGGUGUCACCCCCUGGGGGCAAAACACCGACAGUUGGUGCGCCAAGUAGGGGUCCUGCGUGUUACCACCGACUUCCCAUCUCUUUCUGGAUGGCCACUCACGUCUCGCCGAUCCCACGCUCCAUGGUGAUUUGGUUUGGGAGCCUUGAGUUCAUGUCCACUGGCUUCGGCUAUGACAUAAUUCUGCUCUCAAUCAAAGGACCUGGAGAGGCUCGUGUCGCACCCACACGAUCAAAGGCUUCGAGACGGCCUCAACGCCACGCUUCCCCGCCCAAGAGGAGGCGUGGCCAGCAUCGCCACCGCCCCACCGCCGCUACAUGAUCAUCGCCUCAUACGGGACAGGCAACGGUGGAGGAGCCGAUAGCUCCACGUGCCGAGACCACAGUCACAACGGUUAGACACCAGAACAGCCGUGCGACGGCACCAGGGGGCAGCGUACCACACGCACCCUCACCAACAUCUGCGCUGCUACCUCAUGGUCUGUUCGCCACAAGGCAGAUGCUCCCGUUUGGCUUGGGCAAUGCCGCGACGUCGCUCGCCAGGGCAAUAUGUCCAGACGCCGAGACGUGCGUCAAGCGACCAUUGGUCCUCCCACGCAACACAGAGACAUGACAGCAGGCUUAGCUGAGCAUUUAGGUUUUCCCUAGAUACGCGGGCUUCGGCGCCUAGGACCUGGGCGAUACACCAUCGCCACGCUCAGGCAACAGCUGGCGGAGGAGGGGUGCGGAUGUUUCUACACCGCCGAGCCAGACCCCAAUUCUAAAUCCGAUAGCUACGACCCUACCAGGGAAUGCUUCAACAUCGACGGAGCCGUGGCCACUGCGGACGACACGGAGGAUGCCGCUGCCAGUGCCCGUGCUCCCGCUGCAGCGGGAGAUCCCAUGACACCUGGGAAUGACGGGUAGGCACACCCACUGCCUUAGGACGACAAAGCCAUGCAACUUGUGCAGCUAUGAGAGUUGAAAGCCAAGCUAGACGAGGAUCACGAGCACCUCAGCCAGCUCGAGCAGGCCCUCGAGCGAGACCAACCGCACCUGCACGGCGGGGGCGCGCGUGGUCGUGCUCGAGAAGUGUACCGACAGAUUGUCGAGGAUGAAGAACCUGAGCUGCUCGUCAGUCGCUUCCCUCAUGCCAGUCAGAACAUCAUGGCAGCGACCAUGCUGCUACGUAACAUGCCUGAGCCCUUGAACUCCCGGGCACGACCCAUUCAAGACGAGGUGCAGGGUCUGCUCCACGUGGUGGCAGCCCAACAAGCUGAGAGCUCAGCUUCUCGACGUCGAGGGGCAGCCAUGGAAAAGCGCGUUGAGCCAGCCCAAAACGAGAGGGAGGUAUCCGUUCAUCAGGAGCCGUCACCUCGAGGUAAGAAAACAGUACCCAUGCAGGAGUGCCUCAUCGAUAAUCAACGCCUGCACGAUGCUCGACAUGACAUCAACGAGCAUCGACGCUGCAGACAUGGAGAUGUCGAGGAGAGGGGGUAUAGCACCCACCAUGGCGGACGCUACGAUAGUGACAAAAUCGGAUGGCUCCAGAGCCACCGGGCCCUCGAGUCUUCAAUAGGGCGAUCCGCAACACGCCACAGCCAAGUCCGUUCUGACCCCCGACUAGCAUCACCAAGCAUAACGGUGAAACCAAGCCAGAGCUGUGGCUGGCAGACUUCCAGCUUGCAUGCCAGUUGGGAGGCACUCGAGGAGACGAUCGAGCCAUCAUCCGGCAGCUACCGCUCUUCCUCUCUGACACCGCUCGCAGGUGGCUUGAGGAGCUCCCCACCAACCAAAUCCACAACUGGACUGACUUGGUUCGGGUGUUUUAAGGGAACUUCAAGGGGACCUACAUACAACCUGGUAAUUCAUGGCACCUCAGCAAGUGCAAGAAGAAAUCUAGAGGAUCUCUCCAAGAGUAUGCUCGGCACUUCUCGAAGCAACGCACAGAGCUCCCACACAUCCCCAACCACGACGUCAUUCUGGCUUUUGUCUCAGGCACCACUUGUAACGAUUUGGUGCGAGAAUUGGGUCGAAAUCGUCCGCAGACCGUCGACGAGCUGAUGGACGUAGUGGUGAACUACGCCGCUGGCGAGGAGGCGAUCAACGCAUUCUUCAACCAUGAGAACAACAAGGGGAAGGUGCCAGGAGACAACGACGAGGGCCCUAGCAGGGGGCCCAAAAAGAACAAGAAUAAGAAGAAGACGUGGCAGAUCAUGCGGGAGGCCCUUGACAAUGAUUUCAUCGCCGAUGUCGAACGCAAGAAACCUUGAGGCCCCCCAGAGGGGGCCGUCUUCGACAAGAUGCUCAAGGAGCCCUACCCUUAUCACAAGGGAGGGGGCCAAUCACAAGCUCGAGGAUUGUCGCAUGCUGAAGAAGCACUUCGAUAGCCUGGGGCUAAAGAAGGACGACCAGAGGAGGGAUAAAAGCGACGACAAGGGCGAAAAUAAAAACGAUGAGGGGUUCCCCGCCGUCCAUGAUUGUUACAUGAUCUACGACGUGCCUUCGACACAACUCACCUCGAGACAGCGUAAUAGGGAGCGCCGCGUCUUCGCGGCAAGGAUGGCAGUGCCACAAUAUCUCAAUUGGUCGAGCACCCCCAUCACCUUCGACCGCGAUGACCACCUCGACAAGGUUGUCACUCCCGGCGUCUACCCGCUCGUCGUCGACCCCAUCAUCGUCAACACUCAGCUCUCGAAGGUGUUGAUGGACGGUGGCAGCAGCCUUAAUAUCAUCUACCUUGAGACCCUCAAUCUCCUAGGUGUUGAGAGAGCCUAGCUCUAGCCUAGCGCAGGCGGCUUCCAUGGUGUUGUACCAGGGAAGAAGGCAUUGCCGGUGGGUCGAAUCGACCUGCCGGUCUGUUUUGGCACGGCGGCCAACUUCAGGAAGGAAAUUCUCACUUUCGAAGUGGUGGGUUUUCGAGGCACUUACCAUGCCAUCAUUAGACGCCUAGGAUAUGUCAAGUUCAUGGCAAUCCCCAACUACACUUACCUGAAGCUGAAGAUGCCCGGGCCCAAGAGAGUUAUCACCAUCAGCUCCUCUUACGAGCACGCAUACGAAUGCGACGUUGAGUGCAUCGAAUACGGGGAAGCUAUCGAGAGCUCUGCCGAGCUUGCCUCAGGGCUCGAGGCCCUCGCCGCUGAGGCUCUAGAGCCUAAGCGCUGUGCGGGCAGCUUUGAGGCAGCAAAGGGCACGAAGAAAAUCCUGCUCAACCUCAACAGUUUCGACGACAGGGUGCUGACGAUCAGCACCGACCUCGACCCCAAAUAGGAAGCCAUGCUCGUCAACUUUCUCCGUGCAAACGCCAACAUGUUUGCAUGGAGUCCCUCGGACAUGCCUGGCAUACCGAGGGAAGUCACCGAGCACUCCUUGGAGAUUCGAGCUGGUUCCAAGCCUGUGAAGCAACGAUUGCGCCGCUUCGAUGAGGAGAAGCGCAAGAUCAUUGGCGAGGAGGUCCACAACCUUUUGACAGCCGAAUUCAUCAAGGAGGUUCAUCAUCCCAACUGGUUAGCAAACCCUGUAUUAGUUAAGAAAAAAAAUGGGGAAAUGAGGAUGUGUGUCGAUUAUACCAGUUUAAAUAAAGCAUAUCCUAAAGUUCCCUUUCCUUUGCCAUGCAUCGAUCAAAUUGUUGAUUCAAUAGCGAGAUGUGAAACCCUUUUGUUCCUUGAUGAUUAUUCCGGUUGCCAUCAAAUAAUAAUGAAAGAAUCUGACCAGCUUGCGACCUCCUUCAUCACGCCCCUUGGGAUGUACUGUUACAUAACUAUGCCCUUUGGGCUUCGAAACACCGGGGCGACGUACCAACGGUGCAUGCUCCAUGUUUUUGGAGAUCACAUAGGGUCGAUGGUCGAGGCAUACAUCAACGGCAUCGUCGUCAAGUCAAAGAGACAGGGCGACCUGAUUCAAGACCUCGAGAUCGCCUUUGGCUGUUUGCGCACGAAUAAAAUUAAGCUCAACCCCAAGAAAUGUGUCUUUGGCGUGCCUCGAGGCAUGCUUUUAGGGUAUAUAGUCUCCUAGUGCGGCAUCGAGGCUAACCCCGAAAAGGUCUUCGCUUUUGCCAAGAUGGGACCAAUUCAAGACGUCAAGGGCAUACAGAAAGUUACAGGCUGCCUGGCGGCACUGAGCAGUUUUAUUUCAAGGCUGGGGGAAAAUGCAUUGCCAUUGUACCGGCUCCUGAAGAAAGUCAAGCACUUCACCUAGACGAUCGAGGCUGAGGAUGCCCUCGACAUCCGAUCCUGGUGCCUCCUUGACCGGCAAAACCUCUGCUCCUGUACAUCGCGGCAACGACCUAGGUCGUUAGCGCGGCCGUGGUGGUCGAAAGGCCAGAGGAAGGGCAUGCGCUACCAAUUCAGCGGCCGGUCUGCUUCAUCAGCGAGGUGCUCUUAGAGACAAAGGUACGAUACCCCCAGGUUAAAAAAUUUAUUUAUGCUGUGAUUCUCGCCCGACGCAAGCUGCAACACUACUUUCUCGGCCAUCCGAUCGCGGUGGUCUUGUCCUUCCCGCUGGAUGAGAUCAUCCAGAAUCGAGAGGCCACUGGGAGGAUUGCCAAGUGGUCGGUCGAGCUCAUGGGGUAGACCCUCACCUAUGCGCCUCGCAAAGCCAUCAAAUCUCAGUCCAGUUUGUGUGUUUUUUCCCACUGUUUCCAUCAAUUUUUUUCUGAUCGAUUUUGAUAUAUGGAACAUCAAAAUCGGAGUUCGUAUGCGAAAGUUAUGGCUGUUUUACGAACGAACUCCGAAUUAGAGGACAAAACGGUCCGGAAGUAGGAAAAAAUUGUGGUGGUGGCUAGAAAUUGAUGGAAACAGUGUGAAAAACACACAAACUGGAUUCUAACAAGACCUAACCAGUAACAAGACCUCGACUAGGACACAAACUCAACACUACGAACUCUGAAACUGAAAUAUGCAAAGGCUAUGGCGCAGAUGGGUUGUAGGACAUGAAAACAAUAUGGCACUAGACUUAUGGGAUGAAUAUAAGAACACUCAAAACUAAGGGUAGAUGUGAACCUAACGGUAUGUCUGAAGCUUUGAUUACCACUUAAGGAGAACAAGUGUGGCCCGAUCUUCUGAAAGGUUCUCGUAACUAUCGAUUUGGUGGAAACGAGACACAAAUCAAUACAGCUUGCGAACAACAUGACCCGAAACCCUGCAAUUAUUUUUAUUUUUUUGAUAUUUUUCUUUUACUUAGGAGCACUCAAGAAGUAACCAAAGAAAAUUUGAGCUUAAACAAGUGAAAGACGUUGCCUUGUGGAAUUUUUUGAAGAUUGCGAAAAAUAUGAAAAAAAAUUAGGAGGUGAAAACUCAAACUUUAGAGGUGGUUUUUGGGAUUCUAAAUUUAUCGAACCCGCCUAUGGUGGGGAUAGACAGAUCCAAAAUUUUUUUGUGAUCGAUUUUGAUAUAUGGAACAUCAAAAUCGAAGUUCAUAUGCGAAAGUUAUGGCUGUUUUACGAAAGGACUCCGAAUUAGAGGACAAAACGGUCCAGAAGUGGGAAAAAAUUUUGCGGUGAUGGCUAGAAAAUGAUGGAAACGGUUGGAAAAAACACACAAACUGGACUCUAACAAGACCAUAAUAGUAACAUGAGCUCGACCAGGACACAAACUCAAAACUACGGACUCUAAAACUGAAAAAUGCAAAGGCUAUGGCGCGGAUGGGUUGUAGGACAUGAAAACAAUAUGGCACUAGACUUAUGGGACGAACACAAGAACACCGGGGCGACGUACCAACGGUGCAUGCUCCAUGUUUUCGAAGAUCACAUAGGGUCGACGGUCGAGGCAUACGUCGACGACAUCGUCGUCAAGUCAAAGAGACAAGGUGACCUUAUUCAAGACCUCAAGUUCACCUUUGGCUAUUUGCGCACGAAUAAAAUUAAGCUCAACCCCAAGAAAUGUGUCUUUAGCGUGCCUCGAGGCAUGCUUUUAGGGUAUAUAGUCUCCCAGUGCAGCAUCGAGGCCAACCCUGAAAAGGUCUUCGCUGUCGCCAAGAUGGGACCAAUUCGAGACGUCAAGGGCAUACAGAAAGUUACACGCUGCCUGGCGGCGCUGAGCCGUUUUAUUUCAAGGCUUGGGGGAAAAGGCAUUGCCAUUGUACCGGCUCCUGAAGAUAGUCAAGCGCUUCACCUAGACGAUCGAGGCUGAGGAAGCCCUCGACAAACUAAAAAGGACUACCGCUCCGAUCCUGGUGCCUCCUCGACCCGCAGAACCUCUGCUUCUGUACGUCGCGGCAACGACCCAGGUCGUUAGCACGGCUGUGGUGGUCGAAAGGCCAGAGGAAGGGCAUGCACUACCAAUUUAGCUGCCGGUCUGCUUCAUCAGUGAGGUGCUCUCAGAGACCAAGGUACGAUACCCCCAGGUUCAAAAAUUGAUUUAUGCUGUGAUUCUCGCCCGACGCAAGCUGCAACACUACUUUCUUGGCCAUCCGAUCACGGUGGUCUCGUUCGACGCCUCGAUGUUCGAGGUGACUCUCAGCUGGUCAUCGAUCAAGUCAUGAAAGCCUUGAGUUGCCAUGACCCAAAAAUGGAGGCUUACUGCAAGGAAGUACGCAAGCUUGAGGACAAGUUCCAUGGGCUCGAGCUCAUUCACAUCGCACGGCGAUACAACGAAACGACUAACGAGCUUGCCCAGAUCGCGUCCACUCGAGGCACUGUCCCACCAGACACAUUCUCAAAGGACCUGCUUAAACCAUUUGUCGACCUAGGCUCGGGGGCUAGCAUCGAAACCUCCACCGCCGAGCCCACUGACACAAUCGAGGCUCUACUGACGGCAGCAAAGGUAAUGGAGGUCGAGCAAACUCCUCAACACCCCGGUCGACCAUUUAACUGGUGCACGCCUUUCCUCGACUGCCUGAUUCGGGGCGAUUUACCAGAAGAUCAAGCUGAGGCCCGUCGUAUCGCUCGAUGGGCCAAAUCAUGCAUGAUCUAUGGCGAAAGCAAAGAGCUCUACCGAUGAAGCCCAACCGGGAUCUUGUAGCGCUGCAUCACUAUAGAGGAAGGUCGAAAGCUCCUCGAAGAUCUACACUCGGGGGCUUGCAGCCACCAUGCAGCUCCUGGAACCCUCGUAGGCAACGCCUUCCGACAAGGCCUCUACUGGCCAACGGCCGUCGCUGAUUCCAUCGAGCUUGUUCGCUCAUGCCAUGGGUGCCAAUUCUACACCAGCAAACUCAUCUCCCCGCUCACGCUCUACACAUGAUUCCCAUCACUUGGACGUUCGCGGUAUGGGGCCUCGACCUCAUGGGUCCACUCCAAAGGGCGGUGGGAGGAUACACCCACCUGUUGGUGGCCAUCCACAAGUUCUCCAAAUGGAUUGAUGCUCAACCCAUCACAAACAUUUGUUCCGAGCAGGCUAUCCUCUUCUUCACCGACAUAAUCCACCGGAUUGGGAUACCCAACGUCAUCAUCACCGACAAUGGCACACAGUUCACCGACAAAAAGUUCCUGUACUUCUGUGACCGACAUCACAUCCGUGUGAACUGGUUUAUAGUAGCUCACCCUCGGACCAACGGCCAGGUCGAACGUGCCAACGACAUGAUUUUGCAAGGGCUCAAACGCAGAAUCUACAACCGGUUGAAGAAGUUCGGCAAGAAAUGGGUCGAGGAGCUCUCUUUGGUCCUAUGGAGUCUAAGAACAACACUGAGCAGAGCCACGAAAUACACCCCAUUCUUCAUGGUCUAUGGCUCCGAGGCUGUGCUUCCAACAGACCUCGAGUAUGGGUCACCUCGACUCAAAGCCUACAACGAGCAGACAAAUAGGGAGACUCGAGAGAAUGCGGUCGACCAGCUCGAGGACGCUCGAGACAUGGCCCUCCUCAACUCGGCAAGGUACCAGCAGAAGCUUCGACGCUACCACGACAAGCACGUGCGCAUGAGAGGCCUGAACAUGGGCGACCUUGUCCUACGUCAACGGCAGAGCAAUUAAGGAUGCCACAAGCUGACUCCACCCUAGGAGGGCCCAUACAUGGUGGCUGAGGUCUUGAAGCGAGGAACGUACAAGCUCGCGGACGAAAAGGGGGCGAUCUACACCAACGCAUGGAAUAUCGAACAACUACGUCUCUUCUACCCCUAGAGCUUCGAGGCUUUACAUUUUCUUGCACAUCUUGUAUGACCGAUGCCCUGUGAAUAAAUAUGUGAAUAAACGAAAGUACUUUUAUGAGUAAUUCAUAUUAUUACCGGUUAAUCCCGAUGUUAGAGGAAGUCUUGACUAUGACCCAUCAUAGUCAACACUCCCUCGGGGCUAGCAGGGGGAAACCCCCCAGGCUUAAUGUUCUCUUUUCCCUUUCAAACCCUAAGAAAACUUAAUGUUCUCUUUCAAACUUAAUUUUUCAAAAGCUUAAUGUUCUCUUUUCCCUUUCAAACCCUAAGAAAACCCCACACGAUCGAGUAGUAAAGGCGCCUCGAGCCCCUUAAGGGCCGAGGGACGUCGAGCCUGAUAACUCCUACUCCUCCGGGCUAUGGUAACUCUAAUCACACCCUUACCCUCGAGGCAAUCGAAGUCGUCCGAAUGAAAGAUCGAUCGAGGAAGAUGAACUUAGGCAGCAAAGGAAAUAAAGGAAACUCGAGCAUAAAAGUAACAAGAAUAUAUAGAAACUACAAAUCUUAAGGCCGCUCAGGCCAUAAUGUUUAAAGCUAAGUAUAUUACAAUGGGUCUAAGUACCCAGAUCAGGCUCGCAGGCCUUAGUGUUCAUCUCUACCUUCACCGUUGUCUUCCGCGCCCACACCGGUCUCGGGAGAGAGUACCUCUGGCUCGAAUAGCUUCGCCAGCCUUUCACCAGGAACCUCUGCAUCGUCGAUCAAGGCAUGAAGCCUCUCCUCGUUCUCAGCAUCGGUCUUGCAGAUGUCGGUGAUGAAACUGUGGGACACCACCUCCAUAUCAUAGGAGAAGCCCGAGCAGACAACCGCCAUAGCCCGCUUCACCCCAGUAUGGAGUGCGUCCUGCACUCAGUCCUUCAAGGUGGCACCGAGGUAGCACAGCUGGUCGACCAAGGUGUCGCAUCGAGCCGCCUCCCCCGCCUUAUCUAUAGGCUCAAGCUCCCAAGAGGUCGAGAGGUCGUUGAUCGCCGUCCUUAGUCGACCAGUCAAGGCGACCUCCCUCUCAAGCUGAGCCUUAGAAGAUUGGGCGUCGACCUGGGCAGCCAGCAGAUCAUCCUUAAGCCCUAUAGAGAUCAAAAUAGGGGAUCAGAUAACGGAAAAGAAAACGAGAUCCAACAAAUAAAACACAACGAUAUGGAAGACUUACCGUGGAUCUUCUCCUCAAGAGCCAUAUUUUCACCAACCAGGUCGGUGUUGGUCCUCUCGAUCUUCUUAAAGGAAUGGGCCAGCUCCGUCUUCUCGACCCGUAGGUCCUCGAUUAGCUUGCCCGACCCUAGGAUAGCUUCUUCUUUCUCUAGCAGCGCUUUCUUUAGACGAUCAAUGUCGUUAGAAAGGCCGCGAGAGCGGGUUCGCUCUGCCUCGAGGUCCUCAUGAGCCUUCCUCUUGGCCUCCUCUAUGGUGCCUCGAGCGAUUUCACUCUUCAGGAGUGCCUCCUUUACCCUGCCAUAAGCGCUUCGUGCGGCGGCAAGGUCUGACUCGACGAGCCUCUUUCCUUUGUCCAGCUCGAUGGCCUUGUCCUUAUACCGCGCAGCCUCCUCCCAGGCCUUGGCAGCCGCCUCCCCGGCCGAGACAGCCAGCUCCUUCGACUGGGCUGCUUCAUCCUUCACCUUCUCCACAGCCUCUCGAGCAACGCGGGCGACCUCCUCUGCCUGGGAAACCUUACUGUCCAUAUUAGACAAGGUCUUCCGAGCAUCGGUCAGAGCGGCCUCCUUCUCCUUCUUCUCCUCCAGAGCCGUUGUAAGAUCCUUAUAUGCCUUAAGGAGCUUUUCUUGCAACUCGAGGAGUUGAUCCUUGAGAAGAGGGAGCUGCUCUCAACCACCCCUCGUCGCAUGAAUGAAGCCCGAUUUCAGCCGGGAGGUCUCUUUCAAGUCCUGCAAUAAAACACGAGGUGAUAAGAGCCCUAGUUCAAUGAAAAUUCCAAGUAACGAGAGUCUAGAGAUCCUCACAAAGAAAUCCUGGCCUAGGCUGUUGUUGAUGAUGUCAGACAUGAGGCCCACGACAUGCUUCAUCCAGAGACAAAGCUCUUCGAGGUGCUCCCACUUCUCUACCUCCUUCCGAUCGUCCAUCAUGUUAUUGGGCUCGUUCGGAGACGUGGAGGCUCAAAGGCAGAUCCUUCCUGGACCACAGUGCUCGAGCUCUUCCUCCGUGCGUGCCUUGAUGCCCCGGAUAAGCUCUUGCACCAUUUCAAGUGAGCCCCCAUGGCGUAGAAACAAAUCGAUAAGAGAGGGGAAUCGCCCAUUAUCAUCGAUGGACUUCCAGGUCCCGGUCUCAUCUGCCUCGCUGCCGCCAGAAGUCCUAGCUUCAUCUUCCCCACUGGCGCCAGAGGUUCCAGCCACAUCUUCCCAUGGUCACCGACCCUCUAGGAAGGCCGGGGCGAUCCCCUUGAUGCCGUAGAGGGAGCCCUUAAUCUCCGAGCUUGGAUCUGUCGGCGUGCGCAUGGCGAGCGCCAGCGCCAUGAGACCGUCCUCCUGUCGUGGCUCAGCUAGGAUGGUGACAGGGCCCCCAGGACGAAGCCACGAGGGAGUCGCGGGACCGUAAACUGGUGGCUCCUCCUCCCCUGUCUCGGGCCUCUGCCCCUCCUCGAGCUGCUGCUGCUGCGGGUGCUGUGGUUGCUGUUGCUCGGGGAACUCCUCCAACUGUCGCUGCUACAGUUGAAGCUCCUACAGCUCUUGCUGUCAGUGCUGCUCUAGCUGUUCCUCGAGCUGCAAAUGCUCCCCCUGCUGCUCCUGCGCCUCUUGCUGUUGUUGCUGUUGCUGCUCCAAUAGGCGUCGCUGCUCCCCCUCUUCCUCCUGUUUUUUCUUUUCCUCUUCCCUCCUCUUCUAUUGCUCCUCCCUGUUCUUCCUCUUCUUUGUAACACCCUAGGUGUUAACCAUGCACUUAGUCUCAUAAACCCUCUCAUAAGCAUUCUCAUCAAGCAUAGCAUAAGCAUAGCAUCACAUGAGCAUGGCAUUAAUUCAAGUGUGAUUUUAUGUGCUUAAAUUAUAUGAUAAAAAUGGUAUGCUUGUUUCCAAAAUUCUUGUGAUGACCAAAAUAUGUUGAAAUAUAUUUUAGAAUAAUUAAGAAUAAUUUUGUGAACUUUUUUGGAGCUAUAGAAAUUGAGAAAUGGAUUUUAUACAAAAAGUCCCAAAAUGAAUUUAUUUAAAACCUAGAACUAGUUUUGAGUUGUAUUUCAAAUUCUAUUGGGAAUUUGGAAUUUCAGGCUGAAACAAAGUUGUAGAACUUUUUAUUUGUGACAAAUUUUGUUUUGGGGGCCAAAGCUGAAAAAGGUUUUAAAUUUGUGAAGAUGAGUUUGGAAAAUUAUUGGAGAAAAGAAAUUCAAAAAAAAGGGGAGGGGGUAGGCGCGUGGCCCAGCUCAGCCGCGUGGCCCAGCUCCCCCGCCCCUCUCCCGCGCGCGGACGCGUCCGCUUCGCUCCACCCGGCGCUGGCCACGUGGCGACCGUACGCUCAGCCACGUGGCGUCGUGGACACGGUCGGGACGCCACCCCGCGCCUCCAGACGCCCACUCUGUCCCCUCCCCGCUCCCUCUCCUUCUCCACUCGCGAGCGCAGCAGCAGCAGCGACCGCUGCGGCGCCAUUGCUGGCCCAACUCCGCCACUCGCCGCCGGCCAUGUCAGUGAGCCAUUGUCCACGCCAAGGCCAACGACGUGUUCGUCUUCGCCGCGGUAAGCCCCUGCGCACGCUCUACCGAGGUGAAAGCCAUCAGCGAGCCCGCAAUCACCCGUCGGAGUUCACCCGACCUCGUCGGAGUGCUCCGCCGCGCCGAAACCCUCCCGUUUCUGCCUCGUUUCGCUUGUUCUUGAGUGUGUUAGGUUCGGGACGUGGUGAGGAAGCUCAGACGAUCCCCCGCACGCGCUCUACCCCGCCGGAGUGGUCUAGCCAUGGCGAGCAGCGCCGCCGUGCCGCCAUGCAAGCCAGCAGGGGUGCUCCGGCCGUCCUCCAACCAAACCAAGGGUACCCUUGGGUGCGCCUCGCUGUGCUCACCCCGUGGCCGGAGACCUCACCGCCGACGAGAUCCGCUCGUCGGAGGUGCUCUCCCUCUCGGUCACAUUGACCAGUGGGGUCGGGGGCCCACUGUCAGCUGCAAGGGGACCGAGGCGGGUAGAGACCUGGGUGCUCCUAGCGUUUUUCAGUGCGGAAUUGAUAUGGAUUUACAGAAAAUGUUUUCCAGAAAAUGAUUUAAAUGGUAUUAAAUCUAUAUCUUGAGAUGCAUAGCUCCAAAAUUGGUGAAAUAAAUUUUGAUGUGCUCUAUAAUUCUAGAUCUACAGUUUGGUACGGUUGCAUGUCAUAUUUGUACAACUUUUCUGUACAAAUGUAUUUAAUCCAUGUUUUUGCUGAUAAUUAGAAAAUGCAUAGUAAUUAAAAUAUAACUCAGAAAAAUAUGAAACUUGUUUUCUUAGCUCUGCAUGGAUGUUUAGUUUCUAGGAAAAAUAUGUCACAUAUUAUUUGCUGUAUAAAUUAAUUUAUAAUUAUUUAAAUGCUUGCAUGGCAAUGGUUUAUGAUUUUUUAUAAAUAAUUGGAUCAUGCAAUUAAUCUGGAAAUUUUUGUGGGUGUUUCUUAUUAUAGUAAGUAAUUUAUAAAAAUAUGAAAUAUGUUGUUUGACACUUCAUCAUCAGUGGGGUAAUUAUACCUACUAUAUAAAAUAAACUUGUGUUUUUGUGUGGGCUAAACUAUCUGUCCAAAUAUUAUGAAAAAUUUGUGGUAGACUUUAUAUUUGACUAGUGCUCCACUAUAAUUUUUGUGGAAUUUAUUGAUGACCAGAAGUACAUGCUACUGUUGUAGGUCCAAUAAUAAUUAAAUAAAUUAUACCUUGUUGUGUAUGAGAUAAAUAGAUUAAAGGGUGUUUGGUUUAUCUUUGAAGCAUCAUGGUAGCUUGCUGGUUAACCAUGAAAACAACUUGUAGAAGAGAAUGCAAUAGAUGCUUAUUUUGUUUGCAAGUCCUUGGAUGAUGUUGACUACCUUGAAGAAAUAAUCACCUAUGUCGUCUAUGCACCAUGUCAUGAUCACCCUGUCUUCACUUGCAUAAGCAUUGCAAAAGCAUUGCACCCCGGGCAUCUCGCACUCCACUCAUGAGCACACAUGCAUCAUACAGGCUCGCAGGAGAACGAGGUGGGACCCGAGGAGCAGGAGGAGACCCAGGAGUAGGAACUUCCGGGAGGACCAGAGCCGGAAGGAGAGCUGCAGGAGUGCCCGGACCACAGGCCUAGCACAAGAAAGGCAAGCCCCAGAGCAUUCUAAGUCUCCCUAUUCUCGCUAACUUAAUUAAUCUACUAUGGUUGUUCUACUAUGCUGCAUUUAAGUGAUAGGAAUCGCUUGAUACCGUUGAUGCAUAUUUACUCCUUGAUAUCACCACCUGUUUAUCUACCUUGUCCUAUGUAGAUAGGCUCGGAGUCUAUGCUUAGCUUGCUUAGUGUGGUAGAAGUCGGGUGAUUUCCUAUCACCUGCGAGAUAUAGGUGGACACCUGAAAGUUAGCUGUCAAUGCUAUGAUGAAAAAUAACCAAGUGUGGGAAUGAACUUAAGACCGGGCAGGGUCUUAUGGUGUUGUUAGCCGUAGUGCCCCUGCCUGUAUCGAUUAAGGACCGCUCGUUGAUGGCCCACUUGUCAUGUUGAACGCAUGCCCCACACUUAGCUGGAAGGAUAAGUCGUUCCGACCGCGAAGCCUGAACACUAUCCGGGCCAGGAGUCAAGCCACCAUGCGCUGUAUUGGUGAUGGUUGAGGAGAACGACGAGGGCACAACACGCAACCUGCUGGGUAUUUUAAACGCAAACAGAAAAAUUCGUAAGCGCACGGAUACCGAUGUAGCUUUCACCCGGGAGUAUUCCAGAGUAUCGAUUUUCCACAGAGAACGUGAGUGUACUAAUUAAGAAUCAAGAUCGCCCAAGGAUAACUAUAUAAUUAUUUUUGGUGGGAAGUGAGGAAGUUUCGUGAGAGUUCUCUAGUUGAUCUAAGAAUCAAGAAUUACUUCAAAGAUUAUUUAUAUCGGGACAUCAGAGCACUAACCACAGAAAGAGAUGAGAAGGGGGCUAGGAAGGUCUGACUACGGUCCUACAAACACCGAUCCGAACGAGGUGGAAUAUGUCGACCGUUAGGGUUGUCACUACCCUAGGGCUACCACAACAAUCCGCAGGAUUGGGUGCAAUUCCACGUAAUUGCAAGACUAAACACCACGUCGAAUCUAUUAAUUACUACUCUAAUAUUUCAAAGAUUAGAGCACUUGAUGCAAGCGGAAAUCCAAUAAAUAACUUGAAUGUAAAUAAAAGUAAUUAAAGAACUCAGGAAUUAUGAAUUGAAGAACCUGGAGAACGAUGAAGAACGAACCAGUUGCUGCAAAAGUACAAUGUUGAGGAAGAUUCGACAGAUCCGGCUCCUCCUCCGCUCUCCUCUUCUCUCUCCCUAUUUUCUAGAUUACAACUAGAACUAACUAGAACUAGAACUAGAACAAGAACUAGAUGAACUAGAACUAGAUCUAGAUGAAGUAGAUGUAGAACUAGAAGAACUAGAGGGAUCCUCUCUACUUGGAUGAAGAAUUGAAACCCUAACUUUGAUUCUGUAGAAGAGGUAUGAUCUCCAGGGGCCAGGGGGUCUGGUUUUAUAGUCCCUUCAAGUGAAUACUUUGAUUCUGUAGAAGAGGUAUGAUCUCCAGGGGCCAGGGGGUCUGGUUUUAUAGUCCCUUCAAGUGAAUAUGGGCCGUUGGAUCAAACCGACAUUGAUUGAACGGUUAUCCUUGAUCCUUUAGGUCGGUCGAGAUUGAUCCCGAAAGAGAGUCCUGUUUGGACUCUAGGAGGGGGCGGGCGCCCAGGUCAACUGGGCGGGCGCCCAGUGCCUGGCCCCGUUCGGCCUCCACUUCCUUCUCGUGGCUUCUGGAGUCUUCUAGAUGGCAGAAAAUUGCGCGGCACGUUAGUAUCUCUAUGUAAUCCCGACGUGUGGGCCUUUCUUCCGUAUUUCCAGAUAACCCCUGCAGAAAUAAACAAACACCAAAACUCGUGGAAUUCUGUCAGAUAAAACCCUAAGUCUAGGUGUUGGUUGCAUUUGGAUCCUUUUCUAUGAUUAGUUGAUGGUUAAAUGGGAGCAUUAAGGACCGUCAACAAGCUCCCCCAAGCUUAACCUUUGCUCGUCCCUGAGCAAAGAUGAACUGAUGAGUUUCUGCAGUGGUUUUAUGUCUUAAAGAUAUACAUGCGUUCAAACAAGAUCUCAUCUCUAGGUUAGGGUAAACUGUUAAGAUUUAAACUUACUCAGUGUACCUUCCACCAUGGGGCUUGCAACCGUUACUUGUGUCUUGAGCAGUUAAAAGAUAGAACGGUCUAGUCAAGCGCCAUGUCUCUUGUUCUUUGAUUAACUAUAACUCUAGAGUUUUUGCAGAUUUUCAAAUAAAACUCAGAGAUUCCUUGUAUGACUCUCUCUAGUCUCUCUUUUGUGGUAUUUCUAGAUCCUUUCCAACGCAGUAAUGAUAUAUGCCUUCUCUGAAAGUAUGUAGUAUUUGUGGUAUGAGGCAUAGUGACAUUGCCUUCUCUCUCACCCUACUCUAAUAAGGCUUUUGAUAUGUGGAGCUCAUAGGUGGGAGAGAGCUAAUAUAUACUUACAAGACAUUUAUUGCAUAGUCAAACCAUGGAUCCAGAAGAACAACUCAAUAAGUCAAAUCAAGAUGUGCAUGUGUGGCGAAUGAAUGGUGUAUGGUGAUGAUGGUGAUAAUGGUGAAAACAAUGGUGAAAGUCUAAUUCUACUUUUGCUCUUUUGUGGGGAUGUAUACCUUCCUUGCUCUUUUGAAACUUUUGGGGAGAAUGAGAUGCUCUGUAUUUUCUUUUUCUUUCCUCUUAGGUGGGUAUCUUGUACCCCUAAUUCUACUGUCGGACACUUGUCCAUUUUUACCUCUCGUCUCACUUUUUUUUUCUUUUCUUUCGAGGUUCCAGGCACUUGCCCCUUUUUAUUUCCUCGUAUCCUUUUUUCUCUCUUUUUUAGAGCACUCAUCUCUUGAAAUAAUGUAGCAAGUGGUAGUAACCAAGAUAACUUGAGCAUUAUUUCACAGGGAAAAAUAGAAAUAUUUUUGGCUAUUCUCUCCCGGAUUAGGAGUAGAAUACUUUUGGGUGGUUCUGGAGAUGGAAAUGGAUGGAUAUAUGUGGAUGUGUACUUCCGAAGUAGAAGCAGCAUGUAUGAGUGAACGUGCAAGUGAAUCUUGAUUUUAACCACAUGACAAGCUCCUAAGGGUCUACACAGCUUGACCACACUCAAUGCUCAUAAGUAGUAAAAAGUAAAUGUGUGGCUCAAAGUCUAGCAAGCAUGUAUAUAUGGCUGUGGUAGGAAUUUAAACUCUCAUCAUACAGGAACUCAUCAUGCAACAUUUUAAAGAUUUUCAAAGAUAAAAUUCUCUAGAAUUCUAGCAUCUCUAGGAACAGAUAAACAGCAGCUCAACCUUCCCAUAUCGUAUCCGUUAACGUCUUAGACUUUAGAUCAAGUACUCUUCCCACAAGUUCAGGUUUAGAGCAAAUCUUAAUUAAUAACAGUCAUGCCUAAACUUGAGAGAGAUUUCAAUUUUGAGAACUAGUCAUGGCAGAGCAACUAUUCAUCAUUUCCAUGUGAGAGCUUAUCGUGUUGGUUCAUAGCAAACUUUAUUUAUUUAUUUAUUUAGCAAACUAAGCAAAGAUAUAUAUAUAUAUAUAUAUAUAAGAACAAAAUCUUUAUUUAGGUUUUUAUGAUUAUGCAUCUUUUUAUUAUUUAAGUAAAGUAUAAAUAUGAGUAGAAUACUUAGCUGGAUAAAUGGAGGUGCUCUCCCCCAAGCUGGAUUUUGACGUAGUUUCUCCUGAUGUAGCUAGCAGGUGGCGGAGGUGUAUUUGAAUGUCGGCAGCACUCUAACAGCGAUUAGGAUGUCCUCCGUCUACCAGUCUUCUUUGAUCCUUGAAUUCUGUGGAGCUCAAAUAGACAACAAAACUUUGUGGAACUAGUUAAGUGUUAGCAUAAAUAUUUAGCCUUUAUCCUGUCGAGCCUCCUCAAUAAAUGUUACACUCUUUUGUAGGAUCAUAAAUUUAUUUUUGUAAUUUUAUUUUUAUAGGACAGGAAUAUAUUUAUUUCAUUUUUACGCCACCACAGUGAAUGUACUUAUGGGUUUUAUGCCAUUAGCAUACUCACAUGGGGCUUACUAUUUUAACAUUUUUUUUUUCAAGAUGAUAUGAACCUGAUUAACUAAGCAAACUAUUUUAAGUAAUUGAAAGAAAAAAAAAGAUAACUACCAAGUUUACCUCUUGGCAAGGCGUUCGGUGUUUUUAAGUCCUCCGAACGGGACUCUCCAUUUUCUCAGUCGUCCUGGGAUUUGCUGGAUGGCGUAGUCGGUGGUUCCAGCGGCGCCUGGUCUUCAUGUAUAACUAUCUUCUCUCUCCACAUCUGACUCGGUGCUACGGUCUCCUCAGGAUAGUUUUGUUCAAGUUGUAUGUCUUCAGACCUUACAACUUCUCCUUCAUAGUCUGCCCAACUGUCCUUGAUGAUUUGCCUCCUCUGGUUGUGGUUGCGUCGUCUUCUUCUUGUCCUGACCUGCUUAGAGUCUUUAACUAUAUAGUUAGAGUGAGUAAAAUAGCGGCGUACCUUCUCAGAGGGGAAAUGCAUGUGGACUUCUCUGGUUCCAAUGUAGAUGAUUGCUUUAACGGUGUUGAGGAAUGGUCUUCCAAAGAUGACGGGUGGAUAUAAUUCGUCUUCUCCCAUGUCAAUAACCUUAAAAUCAUCUGGAGCUGAAUGUAUGUUGGUUGUAGGGGCAUGGUUCCAUGCAGGAGCUGAUAAGUGACUGCGGCCAUUAUGUUGACGUCAGAUCCAGUGUCGUAGAGUGUCUUCUGAAAAGAAUAUCCGUUGAUUGUGCAUUCAAUGCUUGGAACACCUGGGUCGUCCUUUUUUGUCAGGAAUGGUGACUUAAAUCGACAAUCUUGACCUCCUUGAACUGCAGUGACCAUCUUAGCUAACUUGGUCCACAUUUGCUUGUUCCUGUCCCUCCUGUUGGUCCUCUUCCUUGGUUCAUGUCGGGAAUGCUUUGAGAUUUGUGUAGUCUUGUUCUCGAAGGAAAACGUCUCCUUCCUCCCCUUGAUGUAGAAACUGAUCUUGGCAGCACUAGCAUAGAUGACAGCUCCUGAGGUGUUCAGGAAUGGCCUCCAUAGGAUGAUGGGUGCCCUCCCAUUAGUACCAGUCUCUAUCACCACGAAGUCUGUUGGGGCGUACAAGGUACCAACUCAGACACAGAGGCUCUUCAUUACUCCCUUUGGGAAACUUAGCGUACGAUCUGCAAGCUGCAAACACAUGGCUGUCUAAUAAAGGAUGUGUAAAGAAUUUUUCAUAGAGUACCCUAAGCAUAAUGUUGAGGCUGGAGCCAAAGUCGCAGAGUGCUUCUGGGAAGUCCACUAUGCCGACGGAGAUCGGGAUGACGGGGCGUCCUGGAUUGUCUCUGAGUAGUUUGGCCUCUGUUAAUUCCAACCUUGAUUUUGUCGAGGACGGUUGUAGUAGUAGUUGUUGUUGAAGUAGUUUACGUUCUCAAGCAUCUCAGGGCAGUGAUUGCCUGAGUGUCCAGUAUCUCCAGUGUGUUUUGCUCGUAGAUCUAGAUUCUUCACUUGGUGGAGUCUGGGAGUUGUAAAAUUCCUUCAUAUUUUGCUCGAAGUGUACCUGCUCAUUGUUGGGUAUUUUAAACGCAGAUAGAAAAAUCCGCAAGCGCACGGAUACCGAUGUAGCUUUCACCCGGGAGUAUUCCAGAGUAUCGAUUUUCCACAAAGAACAUGAGUGUACUAAUUAAGAUCCAAGAUCGCCCAAGGAUAACUAUAUAAUUAUUUUUGGUGGGAAGAGAGGAAGUUUCCUGAGAGUUCUCUAGUUGAUCUAAGAAUCAAGAAUUACUUCAAGAUUAUCUAUUUCGGGACAUCAGAACACUAACCAAAGAAAGAGAUGAGAAGGGGGUUAGGAAGCUCCGACUACGGUCCUACAAACACCGAUCCAAACGAGGUGGAAUACGUCGACCGUUAGGGCUAUCACUACCCUAAGGCUACCACAACAAUCCGCAGGAUUGGGUGCAAUUCCAGGUAAUUGCAAGACUAAACACGACGUCUAAUCUAUUAAUUACUACUCUAGCGUUAUAAAGACUAGAGCACUUGAUGCAAGCGAGAAUCCAAUAAAUAACUUGAAUGUAAAUAAAAGUAAUUAAAGAACUCAGGAAUUAUGAAUUGAAGAACUUGGAGAAUGAUGAAGAACGAACCAGUUCCUACAAAAGUAUAAUGUUGAGGAAGAUCCGACAGAUCCGGCUCCUCCUCCGCUCUCCUCUUCUCUCUCCCUAUUUUCUAGAUUACAACUAGAACUGACUAGAACUAGAACUAGAGGAACUAAAACUAGAACUAGAUGAACUAGAACUAGAUCUAGAUGAACUAGAGGUAGAACUAGAAGAACUAGAGGGAUCCUCUCUACUUGGAUGAAGAAUUGAAACCCUAACUUUGAUUCUGUAGAAGAGGUAUGAUCUCUAGGGGCCAGGAGGUCUGGUUUUAUAGUCCCUUCAAGUGAAUAUAGGCCAUUGGAUCAAACCGACAUUGAUUGAACGGUUAUCCUUGAUCCUUUAGGUCGGUGGAGCAAUAUCCCGAAAGAGAGUCCUGAUUGGACUCUGGUUGAGGGCGGGCGCCCAGGAAAGGAGGGCGGGCACCCUGUCCCUGAGUCCUCUCGGCCUCCGCUUCGGUCCCGUGGCUUCUGGAGUCUUCUAGAUGAUAGAAAAUUGCGCAGCACAUUAAUAUCUCUAUGUAAACUCGACGUGUGGUCCUUUCUUCCGUAUUUCCUGAAAACCCCCUGCAGAAAUAGACAAACACCAAAACUCGUGGAAUUCUGUAAGAUAAAACCCUAAGUCUAGGUGUUGGUUGCAUUUGGAUCCUUUUCCAUGAUUAGUUGAUGGUUAAAUAUGAGCAUUAAGGACCGUCAACAAGCUCCCCCAAGCUUAACCUUUGCUCGUCCCUGAGCAAAGAUGAACUCAAGAGUUUCUGCAGUGGUUUCAUGCUUUAACGAUACACAUGCGUUCAAACAAGAUCUCAUCUCUAGGUUAGGGUAAACUGUUAAGAUUUAAACUUUCUCAUUUUUCCUUUCACCAUGGGGCUUGCAACCGUCACUUAUGUCUUGAGCAGUUAAAAGAUAGAAUGGUCUAGUCAAGCGCCAUGUCUCUUGUUCUUCGAUUAACUAUAGCUCUGGAGUUUUUGCAGACUUCCAAAAAAACUCAGAGAUUCAUUGUAUGACUCUCUCUAGUCUCUCAUUUGUGGUAUUUCUAGAUCCUUACCAAGGCAGUAAUAGUGUAUGCCUUCUCUUAAGUAUGUGGUAUUUUUGGUAUGAGGCAUAGUGGCAUUGCCUUCUCUCUCACCCUACUCUAAUAAGGCUUUUGAUAUCUGGAGCUCAUAGGUGGGAGACAGCUAAUACAUACUUACAAGACAUUUAUUGCAUAGUCAAACCAUGGAUCCAGAGAAACAAGUCAAUAAGUCAAAUCAAGAUGUGCAUGUGUUGCGAAUGAAUGGUGUAUGGUGAUGAUGGUGAUAACAAUGGUGAAAGUCUAAUUCUACUUUUGCUCUUUUGAGACAAUACAUACCUUUCUUGCUCUUUUGAAACUUUUUGAGGAGAAUGAGAUGCUCUAUAUUUUCUCUUUUUUUUCUUUCAGGUGGGUAUCUUGUACCCCUAAUUCUACUAUCGGACACUUGUCCAUUUUUACCUCUCGUCUCACUUUUUUUUUUGAGGUUCCGGGCACUUGCCCCUUUUUAUUUCCUCGUAUCUUUUUUUCUGUUUUUUUUGGAGCACUCAUCUCUUAAAAUAAUGUAGCAAGUGGUAGUAACCAAGAUAACUUGAGCAUUUAUUUCACAGGGAAAAACAGAAAUGUUUUUGGCUAUUCUCUCCCGGAUUAGGAGUAGAAUAUUUUUAGGUGAUUCUGGAUAUGGAAAUGGGUGGAUAUAUGUGGAUGCGUACUUCCGGAGUAGAAGCAGCAUGUGUGAAUGAACGUGUAAGUGAAUCUUGAUUUUAACCACAUGACAAGCUGCUAAGGGUCUACACAGCUUGACCACACUCAAUGCUCAUAAGCAGUAAAAUGUAAAUGUGUGGCUCAAAGUCUAGCAAGCAUGUAUAAAUGGCUGUGGUAGGAAUUUAAACUCUCAUCAUACAGGAACUCAUCAUGUAACAUUUUAAAGAUUUUCAAAGAUAAAAUUCUCCAGAAUUCUAGCAUCUCUAGGAACAGAUAAACAGCAGCUCAACCUUCCCAUAUCAUAUCCGUUAACGACUUAGACUUUAGAUCAAGUACUCUUCCCACAAGUUUAGGUUUAGAGCAAAUCUUAAUUAAUAACAGUCAUGCCUAAACUUGAGAGAGAUUUCAAUUUUGAGAACUAGUCAUGGUAGAGCAACUAUUCAUUAUUUCCAUGUGAGAGCUUAUCAUGAGGGUUCAUAGCAAACUUUAUUUAUUUAUUUAUUUAGCAAACUAAGCAAAUAUAUAUAUAUGAGAACAAAAUUUUUAUUUGGGUUUUUAUGAUUAUGCAUCUUUUUAUGAUUUGAGUAAAGUAUAAACAUGAGAAGAACACUUAGCUGGAUAAAUGGGGUUGCUCUCCCCCAAGCUGGAUUUUGAUGUAAUUUCUUCUGAUGUAGCUAGCUGGUGGCGGAGGUGUAUUUGAAUGUCGGCAGCACCCUGACAGUGAUUAGGAUGUUCUCCGUCUGCUAGUCUUCUUUGAUCCUUGAAUUCUGUGGAGCUCAAAUAGACAACAAAGCUUUGUGGAACUGGUUAAGUGUUAGCAUAAAUAUCUAGCCUUUAUCAUGUUGAGCUUCCUCAAUAAAUGUUACUCUCUUUAGAAGGAUCAUAAAUUGAUUUUUAUAUUUUUAUUUUUUUAUAGGACUGGAAUAUAUUUAUUUUAUUUUUACGCCACCACAGUGAAUGUACUUAUGGGUUUUAUGCCAUGAGCAUACUCACAUGGGGCUUACUAUUUUUUAACAUUUUUAUUUUCUUUUCAAUAUGAUAUGAACCUGAUUAACUAAACAAACUAUUUUAAAUAAUUUAAAGGAAAAGGAUAACUACCAAGUUUACCUCUUGGCAAGGCGUUCAGUGUUUUUAAGUCCUCCGAACGGGACUCUCCAUUUUCUCAGUCGUCCUGGGAUUCGCUGGAUGGCGUAGUCAGUGGUUCCGGCGACGCCUCCUCUUCCUGUAUAGUUAUCUUCUCUCUACACACCUGACUCGGUGCUACGGUCUCCUCAGGACAGUUUUGUUCAAGCUGUAUGUCUUUAGACCUUACUACUUCUUCUUCAUAGUCUACCCAUCCGUCCUUGAUGAUUUGCCUUCUCUGAUUGCGGUUGCGUCGUCCUCUUCUUGUCCUGACCUGCUUAGAGUCUUCAACUAUAUAGUUAGGGUUAGUAAAAUAGCGGCGUACCGUCUCAGAGGGGAAGUUCAUGUGGACUUCUCCGGUUCCAAUGUAGAUGAUUGUUUUAACGGUGCUGAGGAACUGUCUCCCAAAGAUGAUGGGUGGAACGUACUCAUCUUCUCCCAUGUCAAUAACCUUAAAAUCCUCUGGAGCUGAAUGUAUGUUGGUUGUAGGGGCAUAGGUUCCAUGCAGGAGCUGAUAAGUGACUGCAGCCAUUAUGUUGACGUCAGAUCCGGUGUCGCAGAGUGUCUUCUGAAAAUAAUAUCCGUUGAAUGCGCACUCGAUGCUUGGAACACCAGGGUCGUCCUUCUUGAUCAAGAAAGGCGACUUGAGUUGACGAUCUUGACCUCCUUGAGCUGUAGUGACCAUCUUAGCUGACUCAGUCCAUAUUUGCUUGUUCCUGUUCCUCCUGUUGGUCCUCUUCCUAGGUUCAUGUCGGGAUUACACUGAGACUUGUGUAGUCUUGUUCUUGAAGGAAAACGUCUCCUUCCUCCCAUUGAUGUAGAAACUGAUCUUAGCAGCACUAUCGUAGAUGACAGCUCCUGAGGUGUUAAGGAAUGGCCUCCCUAGGAUGAUGGGUGCCCUCUCAUCAGUACCAGUCUUUAUUACCAAGAAGUCUGCUGGGGCGUACAAGGUACGAACUUGGACGCAGAGGUUCUUCAAUAUUCCCUUUGGGAAACUUAGUGUCCGAUCUGCAAGCCUGAGCAUAAUGUUGAUGCUGGAGCCAAAGUCGCAGAGUGCUUCUAGGAAGUCCACCAUGCCGAUGGAGAUCGGGAUGACGGGGCGUCCUGGAUCGUCUCUCUUGACCGGCAGAAGGUCAGUAAUUACAUCCACAACGGGGUUACUCCAGUAGUUAUGUCCUCAAGCAUCUUAGGGCAGUGAUUGCCUGAGUGUCCAGUAUCUCCAGUGUGUUUGUGCUCGAGAUCUAGGUUCAUCACUUGGUGGAGUCUGGGAGUUGUAAAAGUCCUUCAUAGUUUGCUUGAAGUGUACCUACUCAUAGAGACAAGGCAGAGAUCAAGUGCAUGGGCUCUGUUGGUGGAAAACACCAACAGAACCAAAAGUGUAUUUAUUCUUCUCUAUCCUUAAGCAUAGUGAGCAAGACAAAGUUGAUGGAUAAUAAGAUCAUGACUGUAGCAUUUAUAACAUUUGUCAGAUCAGAUCGCUCAACCUAAUGGAAAGAUAAUCUAUCUAUACUUAUGUUUUUUUAUAUAUCUUCCAAAGAUUGCGUGUGCAACAUUUUAGCUCAUAUGAUUAGGAGUGUGGGAUCACAAAGGUGGAAGGACUAAACAUGUUGAACUGACUGGGUUGGUUAAUCUAGAGUUGUAAAUCAUACAUGUUUGUCUCUUUUAUUAAUGUGAACGCCAGAACCAAGGAGAAGCUUAUAAAAAGUGAUAGUCAAGUACCUUAAGAUGUUACCUUACUUGAAGAGUGAUGGUACAAUAUCACCUUGUGGAAGCUUUCCUUUCUUAGCGGUUGUGCAUCAUGUUUGUGGCACCCUCCAUGGAUCAUCUCUUGUGAGCUAUGCCUUCCUUGUGUAAAUUGUUAAACUUCAUGCGUCUCUCUCUUCGUCUCCAAUGUGAGUUUAUCUCAGAACUUCCCAGGUCGAUAUUGAAAGUUUUCCUGCAGGGGUUAGUCCAACAAAAUAUCCAAUAUCUACUAUAGCAUACUAUCGGCUCAAAAAUCAACCUAUACACCAUGUCUAAUUUGAUUUAGGAGGGCAUUUUAACCUAAGCACCAUGCUUAAUUUAAAAUCCCUUGGAAGUAAGAUCAUCAUUCCUAAACUAAGCACCAUGCUUAAUUAAGAGAUAAAUGAAACUACUCCAAACCUAGACAUAUACUAAAGCAAAUAAAGGUAGCAUGAGAGCAUUUAUAGAGUUCUACUUAAGUGGAGAUGAAGUAGUGUGAUUAGUAUUUAACAGAUUGAGCAUGUCUCAAUGGUAGGGACAACCAACAUAGCAACAUGGCAAAGGAUGUUUUUAUGUAAAGUACUCCUCCAAGCUUGAAUUUUGUAAAAUUCAAGUUUGGAUGAAUUUAAUUCAAUGUUGCAUGAUGAUUCAUCCGAUCUUCUUGCUCCAAUCCUGGAAAGGUUAGUGACAAGAAUACCCGAAGGAAUAUUUUUACAAUUAUCCUUAUAUGCUCAACACACAAGGUAAUGUUGCAAAUAAUUAAAAGCUCAUGUUACAAUCUGAUCAAUGCUUGUUUUAGGACACUAAGCUUGUCCUUGGGAAACUAUCAAUUUAUGUCGGCGAAGUGGUUUCCCCUCCAACGCUGACCUAUAUCAAGAUCAACUCAACGAGAUCUGCAAAAUUUAUUAUAGACAUAUGCAUCGACAACCGCCCUUUUAAAGUUUUUAUGAAUAGAAAGGAAGAGGGGGUUGGAGAUCUCAAAUGUGGUGAUGUUGGAGAGACCAAUGGAUUGUGAAGAUGUUGCAUAUGAGCAUGGAGUAAAUGAAGUGGCUAUGAAAUAAAUUCCAUGCUCAUUAAUGCUUGGAGUGAAAUCCAUGUGGUGUGGUGCAAAUGGUAAGGUGAGUGUGGUAAAAAAGGAAAAGAAAAAGGAUACACGAACGACUUGGUUCGAAACUAGCACAGCUACCGUUCUCCGGCAACAGCGCCAGAAAGCUUGUUGGGUAUUUUAAACGCAAACAGAAAAAUCCGCAAGCGCACGGAUACCAUUGUAGCUUUCACCCGGGUGUAUUCCAGAGUAUCGAUUUUCCACAGAGAAUGUGAGUGUACUAAUUAAGAAUCAAGAUCACCCAAGGAUAACUAUAUAAUUAUUUUUGGUGGGAAGAGAGGAUGUUUCCUGAGAGUUCUCUAGUUGAUCUAAGAAUCAAGAAUUACUUCAAAGAUUAUUUAUAUCAAGACAUCAGAGCACUAACCACAAAAAGAGAUGAGAAGGGGGCUAGGAAGGUCUGACUACGGUCCUACAAACACCGAUCCGAACGAGGUGGAAUACGUCGACCGUUAGGGCUGUCACUACCCUAGGGCUACCACAACAAUCCGUAGGAUUGGGUGCAAUUCCAGGUAAUUGCAAGACUAAAGACCACGUCUAAUCUAUUAAUUACUACUCUAAUGUUUCAAAGAUUAGAGCACUUGAUGCAAGCGGGAAUCCAAUAAAUAACUUGAAUGUAAAUAAAAGUAAUUAAAGAACUCAGGAAUUAUGAAUUGAAGAACUUGGAGAACGAUGAAGAACGAACCAGUUGCUGCAAAAGUAUAAUGUUGAGGAAGAUUCGACAGAUCCGGCUCCUCCUCCGCUCUCCUCUUCUCUCUCCCUAUUUUCUAGAUUACAACUAGAACUAACUAGAACUAGAGGAACUAGAACUAGAACUAGAUGAACUAGAACUAGAUCUAGAUGAACUAGAUGUAGAACUAGAAGAACUAGAGGGAUCCUCUCUACUUGGAUGAAGAAUUGAAACCCUAACUUCGAUUCUGUAGAAGAGGUAUGAUCUCCAGGGACCAGGGGGUCUGGUUUUAUAGUCCCUUCAAGUGAAUAUGAGCCGUUGGAUCAAACCGACAUUGAUUGAACGGUUAUCCUUGAUCCUUUAGGUCGGUGGAGAUUGAUCCUGAAAGAGAGUCCUGUUUGGACUCUAGGAGGGGGCGGGCGCCCAGUGCCUGGCCCCGUUCGGCCUCCGCUUCCUUCCCGUGGCUUCUGGAGUCUUCUAGAUGGUAGAAAAUUGCGCGGCACGUUAAUAUCUCUAUGUAAUCCCGACGUGUGGGCCUUUCUUCCGUAUUUCCUGAUAACCCCUUGCAGAAAUAGACAAACACCAAAACUCGUGGAAUUCUGUCAGAUAAAAACCUAAGUCUAGGUGUUGGUUGCAUUUGGAUCCUUUUCUAUGAUUAGUUGAUGGUUAAAUGUGAGCAUUAAGGACCGUCAACACAACCUUGGUAUAACUUGGAUACCUCGGUCCCCGGAAUGGUCCUCGCGUACUGGCGGUGCUUGCCAAACCUGCGAUUUGGUCCUGGAUAGUGUAAUAUGGUGAUCUGUAGCUCACUUGAUCAGUGAGUGUGGUUUGUGUGGGGAAUAAACUCGCCAGCUGGUUAGAAAUUGAUUCGAAUCGCCAUCGCUCCUGGAUAGUGAGCACUUGACAUGAGCUUCGUCAUUGUAGUAAGGACUAUGAAACACUUCGGUUAUGAUAAAGAAUGAUUUAUGAAUGCUAUGAUAAGAUACUAUCAUAUCACGACACUUGUUUGCAAUAGUACAGGUGCGAACCUAGAUGAUAGGUAAUAAUACCUAACCUAAGCUAAUUAAAGAAGAAGAGUAAUGCUAGGGCAUACUCCUAGUUAAGUAACGCUUUUAUGCAAAAAGGUUUCAGCUACCCCACUAUACAGCCUUCUUGAUCCUUGCAGUGUCUUUACUUUUGGUUUAUGACGGGUAAGUCUAGCUGAGUACAUUCUCGUACUUAGGGUUCUACUCCCAUGUUGUUUUGCAGAUGGUCAGAUGUAUUAGGGUUAUUGCAUUCACUGCUUGUACCCAGCAAUGGGUGAUGACUAGACGAAGGGCGAUGGUCACUCUACCUCCUCUUUUGCUUUUGUGGGAAUGAUCAAACGAUGGCACUGUGUCGGACUAAGUAUGUGUGUCAUUUUAAAACUAUGAAGCUUCCGCUACUUGUGAACUUGGGUUGUAAUAACUUUAAGUGAACUCCGAUGUCUUGUGAUGAAUGUUGCGAACUGGAUGUAAUUGUGAACGGUGAUCGCUGAACUUAUUACGAUCUUGGCUGGAUGUAUGAGUUGUGGUUUGAAAUCCUUCGAGAUUUCACGGACUACCGGGAUUAUAGGGGCUUAAGCUUGAUGGUUUGAAUGUGCAAGCGGUCACUAUUAGGCUUAAUCUCUUAUAAUUUGAGUGGUUCUGUUACAGCUAGUAUUGGAGCAUGGCUCAGUGAAUUACUGUUCAUAAGUACGUUCUAAAGCAAACUUAAACCGGUUAAUAAAAGUUAAUUAUCAAAUUAAAGAUAAUCAAGGUGUUAAAAUAAGUUUUUGGAAAACUACACAGUGUGCCAUGGUCAUAUCCUUUAUGCCCAGUUAAGGACUCUAAGGUGGCUAAUUAAGUACUGACUUGGGGGUUAUGCAUCAUAUUUCUAUUUUCGUCGCUCAUACGGCGUGCAAUAGUAUGAGUGCCAUUCACUUAUGUGGUAAUGUAUGGAUCAAUUUUCCUCUACACCUCGGUAAGUGGGAGCUGUGAGAGCAUGAUUAGAUACACUGCCGGUCUAGGGGAGUGUUCUUAGGUGUUGUGUCUUGCACGCAUGUUGUCGUGCCUGGGAGCAGUACCGCAUGUUGGGAGAUUCCGUCCUGAGAGGCGAUGCCGUCAUUAGGGCGAUGAUGUGGAUAGUGGUACGCCAUAUGCAUAGGCGGGUGCCUAUGUGUGUGGGGUGCAUAGUUUUAAAUUCUCGUUCUGCAUAUUCAUACUAUGGUUGCGCUGAAAUGAGUUUUCUACAGGUACGCUAACCACGUUCUCGCAUAGACGCUAGUUACGUUAUGAGAGAACGUUAUGUGCCACCGCAUAUACAGAUUAGUAUUAACUUUCUUUCCUAAGUUUGUGCGAUCGUAAGUUCGUGCAUGCAUCAUGUUCAUUCCAUAUCUUUGCUUACCUCCUCCCCUUAAUUAACUCUGUCCCAAUUCCAAUUAAAAUAAUAAAAGGUAAUCCUCAGUCUAACCCAAGGCAUUCUAUUUGCAACAGAUGGCACGGACUAGGCUCACCGCUCGUAAGUCCACUGGUGGGCGGGCCCCUCACCAUUAGUUGGCAUUAGGAGCUCGUGCCACAAGAGCAAGUUCCUAGAGGAGUUUGGGAUGCCUACCUUGCUUUGGAGAGUGCUCAGUUCGAUGGGGUAUCCUGAAGGAAGGGAACCUCGCUAUUAUUGGAACAAGGAGCAGCUUGGUGACAGGACCCUUGUGGGGAUUGAGGCAGUGAUCCCUACCAGUGGAGGCGACCCAGCCUGGGGUGGUUGGGUGUACGAGUCCCGAGGUACCACGCCUUUCCAGGGUGCCAGCAGGGUUGCUUUUGCGGUUCUGAGAGACAUCAUGGAGAGGUUUUCGUAGGAGCUGGCUCACGCCUUCGCUGGGGUGUUUCCCCGGGGUGACCCCUACACUUCGGUGUGGGAUCAGUCUAAGGCGAAUGCUCUAGAGAGGAGUGCGGAUGAGGAUCAGCAUAGUGACAACACAACUAUGAGUGCUAUGUUUGCCUUGAUGAAGACCUAUGGGGGUCUGGAGCACUACUUGGGACGCUUGUCUGGGUCUCUUCUAACAGUUCAAGAUGAGAAGCGCCAGCUACAGCGUGAGUUUGACAGUGAGGUUGAGAGGCUGCAGGGAGAGUUGGCCCGUGUGACUCUGGAGAGGGACCAGGCAGUCCAGAAGAACAGUGAGCUGAGUCAGGAUCUGCUCGCAGUGAGAGAGCAGAGGGAUAGGGUGACCACCGCUCAUAGGAACUACGAUCGCAUGCUAGUUCAUGUGCUUGGUCAGAGGAAUGAAGCCUGGCAUGAGGAGGACACCCUGAGGGCCCGAUAGCUAGAGCUUGAGCAGCACCUAGCUAAUGCGGAGCAGUACAAUGAGAACCUGCACAAGGAGAUCAACCAGCUGCAUAACCAGCUCCACCCUCACCACCUACCUGGAGCCGCUGAGUCGGAUUCUGAGGAUGAGAUGGAUGUGGAUCCAGAGAUGGAGGCAGCCGCUAGUGGAGAUGAGGACGAGGAAGGUUCCGGCAUGGACAGUGACCAUAGCGAGUAGAUGCUAGGGCUCUAGAGUUAGUCCUUCAUCUUUUGUUGUCGUUGUUACAUGACUUGUGUUGUAUCUGUUGGAUCUUGGAUGCGUAAGACUUUAAGUGUUGAGUUGUGUUGGCAUUGAAAGUCCAGUGUAUGUAUGCUGGCAAUUUGGGAUGUAUGUGAACCCUGUUGGCUAAAUGUUAAGUAAUCCGUUGGUGAUGUUGUGUGUGGAUGAUGGAUUGUUCUGUCUCUGUUUACUAUGUGAAUUUAUUCUCAUCAGUAAAUUCAGUAUGGCAUGAUUUUACAUAUGUCUACCAGUUGAUAACAACUCAUAACGACUGCUUAACAUUGGAGCAUGCAGAUGGUGCAAACGCGUGGCGGGGGUAACAGCAACCCUGGUCUUGGAGAAGGUUCCUUCAGAGGUGGAGCUCGCAGGAAUGAGGGAAGAGCACCCACACCACCACCACCACCACCUCCUCCAUAUACUGCGGAUGUGUUCUUUGCGCAGUUUCUAGGGAGCCAAUGCAACAUGGAACAGAUGUAGCGCAACAUGGAAGAAGCCCUGCGCAAUAUCGCCGACAACACCCACCGUGGGGAUAACCAAGGCGGCCGUAAAGUAAAUCAGUACAGCUCUUUCAAGGACUUCAUGGAUACUAAACCACCGGUCUUUAAGGAGGCCCUAGAGGCGCUCGAGGCGGAUGAAUGAAUUAACACCAUGGAGCAGAAGUUUUGUCUCCUUCGAAUGACUGAAGAACUCAAGGCAGAGUAUGCAGCGCAUCAGUUGCAGGGGCCUGCUGGGAUAUGGUGGUCCCAUCAUCGCACCACCUACCCAGAGGGGACCUCGAUCACCUGGAACCACUUCACCAUCGCCUUUCGAGGAAAUUAUAUUCCUCUGGGUGUGGUGGAAAUGAAGGUUGGAGAGUUCAUGAAGCUGUCUCAGGGGACCAAGUCUGUGAAGGAGUACCUGCACGCUUUUAAUAAUCUUGCUCGUUAUGCUCCCGAGUUCAUGAACACAGAGGCCAAGAAGAUUGCUUGUUUCUAGAGAGGCUUAGGCCUGAAGAUGUUGAAGACUAUGGGUACAGGGACCCAGGCUACUUUCAAUGCCUACAUCAGUGACUGUCUGACUCAAGAGAACAAUAACAACAACUAUAGUGCAUCCAAGUCCCGCAAGAGGGCCUUCGAAGCCGGAUCAUCUCAGUCCAGGGCACCAGUGGCAGGGCAUCAGCAGUAUCAUCCUCCUGCCCAAGGUGCUAGGUUUCGACCGCCACAGAGAAGGAACACAGGGCAUCCAACGCAGCAGAAGCCGUACAAGGUAGCAGUGGCUCCCGCGAAGCCAAGGACGAAUCAAGCUGCAGCACCUGCUGCCAACAACAUGACCAAGGGGCCAUACUACAACUGCCACAAGAUGGGGCACGUUGCUAAAGAAUGUCCCUACCCCAAGAAGCAGCAAACCACCUACCCAGCCCGUGUGCACCAUACCUUGAUAGAGGAGAUCCCGGAAGGAGAACCGGUAACAGCUGGUAUGUUUCCUCUCAACCAACACCUUGCAGUUCUGGAUCAUCGCAUUCUUUCAUGAGCCAAGCAUUUGCACAAAAGCAUGACCAAGCAGUUACAGAUCUGGGGUGUGGCUAUCGCAUCAGCUCGGCAGGGGCAGAUGUGCUGAGAAAUAGAGUGGUCCGAGGGGCAACCCUUGAUAUAAGUAACCGGGUGUUUCGAGUGAAUCUAGUGGUCAUGCCCGGGUUGGUCCCAAAUGUUAUCAUGGGUAUGAACUGGAUGAAAGAGUGGGAUGUUGUUUUAGAUGUUGGGAAAAGAAUGUUAUCUCUUAGGGAGCCUCAGGGUAGUGGAUCUUUUCAAGUACCCCUGCCCCGUCGGUUUGACUUUGCUAGCAUCUCUUGUGCUACACAAGUGGUUCCUUUACCUCAAAUCCCAGUGGACUGUGAGUUUCCUGACGUUUUCCCGGAAGAGUUGCCAGGACUUCUCCUGGAUAGGGAAGUAGAGUUUGCAAUAGAGUUGAUACCAGGUACAACACCCAUCUAUGUGGCCAUACUGGAUGCCGCCCAACGAGAUCGCCGAGCUAAAGACCCAAUUAAAAGAUUUAUUGGACAAGGGUUUCAUCCAGCCAAGUUCGUCAGAAUGGGGUUGCCCGACGUUGUUUGUGAAAAAGAAGGAUCAAUCGUUGCGCAUGUGCGUGGACUAUCGUCCACUCAAUGCGGUAACAAUUAAGAAUAAGUAUCCCUUGCCACGGAUUGAUAUCUUGUUUGAUCAGUUGUCCAAGGCAAAGGUGUUCUCCAAGAUAGAUCUGAGAUCCAGUAUCACCAAAUCUAGAUCCGUUCGCAAGAUAUACCCAAGACUGCUUUUUCUACUAGAUAUGGGUUGUAUGAGUAUCUUGUCAUGUCAUUUGGAUUGGCGAAUGCUCCUACCUACUUUAUGUAUCUGAUGAACUCCGUCUUUAUGCCAGAGUUGGACAAAUUUGUUGUGGUGUUCAUCAAUGAUAUCCAGGUCUAUUCAGAGUAUGAGCAAGAUCAUGCCGAGCAUCUACGAGUCGUGCUGACACGACUGCGAGAACAUCAGUUGUAUGUUGACACUUGCUAACACCACUUGAAUACUAGGUUGUCAUCCCCAGCAUGACACUAGAGUGUACUAUGGUAUUUAUACGCACACAGAUAAAUCCACAAGCGCACGGAUACCGUUGUAGCUUUUACCCGGUUAAAGAUUUUAUCGUAUCCAUAGGGAAACAGGAGAACCAACUACGCUCUAACUUAACCAAGAUAGAUAGAUAAGUGUAAAUAGGAAAGAUGGUAGAAUUGAAUAAGAACAAUAUUAAAGGUAAGAUAACAAUGGGUGAUAAUAUGGGAAUAGAGAGUAGAGCAAUCUAGUAUAUGGGCGAUGGUAGCAGAAUAGAGAGGAUAACUAUGGUUUCUCUACUUCAAAGGGGUAUGUCUAAGCCUGGGACGAACCACAUGAUAAGAAUACACCACAAAGGAUGCUUAUCCAUAGGCCAAUAAACCCUACCCGUCCUGCUAACAGGAGGUGGACUACAGGGGACCAACGUAACUGUCACCUACGUGGCCUACCACACGAUCCAGCUAGAUAGAGGAUAUCCACAAGUAAUCUAGGUCUAAGCACCACGCUUACACCUAUACUACAACUCUAACCUAUAGGGUCCUAUAGAUUAGAAGUACUCAAAAGAAUUGUGAACCAGAACAUACAUGAUUAGUAAUUGCAUAAUGAAUUAGAAGUAGAUUACCAGACUCAUCCCAUGAGCAAGCUUGAUUAGAGCUUGAUCAUGGCGAAGUACAACUGGAGGAAGAACCGACAGGCCGGCCUCUCCUCCAAUCCUCCCUCGCUCUCCAUCUUGCUACUAUCUAGAUCUACUCUAGUUUAGAGAUGAGAGGAGAGCUCUCAUCUCCAAUCCCUAGCUUUUGCUCUGUAUAUGAAUAAUGAAUAGGGAUCAAGGGGUGCCUCCUCCAGGGGCCAGGGGGUCUGCUUAUAUAGUCCCCUCAAGUGAAUUUGGGCAGUCGGAUCAAACCGACAUUGAUUGAAAGGUUAUUCUUGAUCCUUUCACUCGGUGGAGCAUAAUCCCCGAAGCGAGUGCUGAUCGGACUCUGUAGCUGGGCGGGCGCCCAAGGGGGGAGGGCGGGCGCCAUGCCCCUAAGCCGGCUCGGCUUCCCGUUCGUUCCUGUGGCUUCUGGAGUCUUCUAGAUGAUAGAAAAUUGCGCGGCACGUUAAUAUCUCUAUGUAAACCCGAUGUGUGGGCCUUUCCUCCAUAUUUCUUGAUAACCCCCUGCAGAAAUAGACAAACACCAAAACUUGUGGCAUUCUGUCAAAUAAAACCCUAAGUCUAGGUGUUGGUUGCAUUUGGAUCCUUUUCUUUAUUUAUUUGAUGAUUAAAUUUGAUACUUAAGGACAGUCAACAACUCCCCCAAGCUUACCUCUUGCUCGUCCCUGAGCAAGGAUGGACUCAUGAGUUUCUACGGUGGUUUCAUGCCUUAAAGAUACACAUGCGUUCAAACAAGAUAUCAUCUCUAGGUUAAGGUAAACUAUUAAGAUUUAAACAUACUCAUAUUACCUUCCACCAUAGGGCUUGCAACCGUCACUUGUGUAUUGAGCAGUUAAAAGAUAGAACGGUCAAGUCAAGCACCAUGUCUCUUGUUCUUUGAUCAACUAUAGCUAUGGAGUUUUUGUAGAUUUUCAAAUAAAACUCAGAGAUUCCUUGUAUGACUCUCUCAAUUCUCUCUUUUGUGGUAUUUCUGGAUCCUUACCAAGGCAGUGAUGAUAUAUGCCUUCUCUCUCACCCUACUCUAACAAGGUUUUGAUAUGUGGAGCUCAUAGGUGGGAGACAGCUAAUACAUACUUACAAGGCAUUUAUUGCAUAGUCAAACCAUGGAUCCAGAGAAACAAGUCAAUAAGUCAAAUCAAGAUGUGCAUGUGUGGUGAAUGAAUGGUGUAUGGUGAUAAUGGUGAUAAUGGUGAAAACAAUGGUGAAAGUCUAAUUCUACUUUUGCUCUUUUGAGGGGAUACAUAUCUUUCUUGCACUUUGAAGCUUUUUGAAGGGAAUGAGAUGCUCUAUAUUUUCUUUUUCUUUUUGUUAUCUCUUAGGUGGGUAUCUUGUACCCCUAAUUCUACUGUCAAACACUUAUCUAUUUUUACCUCUCGUCUUACUUUUUCAUUUCUUUCGAGGUUCCAGGCACUUGCCCCUUUUUAUUUCCUCGUAUUCAUUUUUUUCAGAGCACUCACCCUCUUGGAAUAAUGUAGCAAGUGGUAGUAACCAAAAUAUCAACAGCAAUUAUUUCACGGGGAAUAACAGGGAUAGGAUAAUGUUUUUGGCUAUUCUCUCCUGGAUAGGAGUAGAAUAAUUUUAGGUGAAUCUGGAGAUGGAAAGGAGUGGAUGUAUGUGGAUGCGUACUUCCAGAGUAGAAGCAGCAUGUAUGAGUGAACGUGCAAGUGAAUCUUGAUUUUAACUGCAUGACAAGCUCCUAAGGGUCUACACAGCUUGACCACACUCAAUGCUCAUAAGCAGUAAAAAGUAAAUGUAUGGUUCACAGUCUAAUAAGCAUGUAUAUAUAGCUGUGGUAGGAUUUUAAACUCUCAUCAUACAGUAACUCAUCAUGCAACAUUUUAAAUAUUUUCAAAGAUAAAAUUCUCCAGAAUUCUAGCAUCUCUAGGAACAGAUAAAUAGCAGCUCAACCUUCCCAUAUCGUAUCCGUUAACGACUUAGACUUUAGAUCAAGUACUCUUCCCACAAGUUCAGGUUUAGAGCAAAUCUUAAUUCAUAACAGUCAUGCCUAAACAUGAGAGAGAAUUCAAUUUUGAGAACUAGUCAAGGCAGAGCAACUAUUCAUCAUUUUCUUGUGAGAGCUUAUCAUGGGGGUUUAUAGCAAACUUCAUUAAUUUAUUUAUUUAGCAAACUAAGAAAAGAUAUAUAUAUAUAUAAGCAUAAAAUCCUUAUUUGGGUUUUUUAUGAUUAUGCAUCUUUUUAUUAUUUGAGUAAAGUAUAAACAUGCGUAGAAACACUUAGCUGGAUAAAUAGGGGCGCUCUCCCCCAAGCUGGAUUUUGAUGUAAUUUCUUCUAAUGUAGCUAGCAGGUGGUGGAGGUGUAUUUGAAUGUCGGCAGCACCCUGACAGCGAUUAGAAUGUCCUCUAUCUGCUAGUCUUCUUUGAUCCUUGAAUUCUGUGGAGCUCAAAUAGACAAUAAAGCUUUAUGGAACUGGUUAAGUGUUAGCAUAAAAUCUCUUGGCCUUUAUCAUGUUUAGCUUCCUCUAAUAAAUAUUACUCUCUUUGGUAGGAUCAUAAAUUUAUUUUUAUAUUUUCAUUUCUAUAGGACAGGAAUAUAUUUAUUUUAUUUUUACGCCACCACAGUGAAUGUACUUAUGGGUUUCAUGCCACGAGCAUACUCACAUGGGGCUUAGUAUUUUUAAUAUUUUUAUUUUCUUUUCAAGAUAGCAUGAUUAACUAAUAAGCUAUUUAAGGAAAGUAAGUAAUUAAAGGGAAAAGGGAAUGCAGAAAGGAUAAAUAUGGAUAACUACCGAUUUUACCUUUCGGCGAGGGUUCAAUGUUUUAAAUCUUCUGAACAAGACUUCUCACCGUGUUCAUUCUUCAGGUGCAUCAUUUGAUUCAGGUGUAAACCUUGACGUCUGCACCUCUUGAUACGGUGUCACCCAUGUUCUUUGUUUGCCCAGCAGUUCGAAGUGCGGUGUUGGCAGUAUCUUGCUCAGUGUGUUUGUGAUCGUAGAUCCAGGUUCUUCACUUGGUAGAGUCUAGGAGUUGAAAAAUUCUUCAUGUUUCUCAAAAUGUGUCCUGCUCAUAGAGACAAGGCAGAGAUCUAGUGCAUGGGCCCUGUUGGUGGAAAACACCAACAAAACCAAAAGUGUAUUUGUUCUUCUCUAACCUUAAACAUGGUGAGUAAGACAAAGUUGAUGGAUGAUAAGUUUAUGAGUGUAGCACUUAUAACAUUUGUCAGAUCAGAUCGCUUCAACCUUAUGGAAAGAUAAUCUAUCUAUGUAUAUGUCUUUUUCUUUAUAUCUCUCAAAUAUUGAAUGUGUAACAUUUUAGCUCAUAUGAUUAGGAGUGUGGAAUCAUGGAGGUAGUACUAGGAACAAAGAUUAAAGGACUAAACAUGCUAAAUCAGUUGGGUUGGUUAAUUUGGAGUUAUAAAUCAUACAUGUUUGUCUCUUUAUUUAUGUGAACGCCGGAACCAAGGAGAAGCUUAUAAAAGUGAUAGUUAGAUAUCUUAAGAUGUUACCUUAAUUGAAGAUUGAUGGUACCAUCUUACCUUGUGGAAGCUUCCCAUUCGUAGUGGUUGUGUAUCGUGUUUGUGGCACCCUCCAUGGAUCAUCUCUUAUGAGCUACGUCUUCCUUGUGUAAAUUGUUAAACUCCAUGUGUCCCUCUCCUUAUAUCCAAUGUGAGUUUAUCUCAGGACUUCCCAGGUUGAUAUUGAAAGUUUUCUUGCAGGGGUUAGUCCGACAAAAUAUACUAAUGUCUAUACAAGUAGUUUUUAGUUCAGUAACCAAACUAGACUCCAUGUCUAAUCAGAUUAAGGAAGGUUGUUUAACCUAAGAACCAUGCUUAAUUUAAAAUCCAAUAGAAGUAUGUGCAGUACUUGCAAACUAACACUUACUAGGAUAAACAAAGGUAGCGUGAUGGCAUUUAUAGAGAUCUACUCAAGUGGAGAUGAAGUAGUGUAAUUAGUAUUUAACAAAUUGAGCAUGUCUCAAAGGUAGGGACAACCAACAUAGCAACAUGGCAAAGGAUGUUUUUAUGUAAAGUACUCCCCCAAGCUUGAAUUUUGCAAAAUUCAAGUUUGGAUGAAUUUAAUUCAACGUUGUAUGAUGAUCGGUUGGACAUACCUUGUGCUUGUCAUUCAUCCGAUCUUCUUGCUCCAAUCCUAGAAAGGUUAGUGACAAGAAUACCCAAAGGAAUAUUUUACAAUUAUUCUUAUAUGCUUAAUACACAAGGUAAUGUUGUAAAUAAUUAAAAGCUCAUGUUACAAUCAGUGCUUAUUUUAGGACACUAAGCUUGUCCAUGGGAAACCAUCAAUUUAUGUUGGCGAAGUGGUUUCCCUUCCAACGCUGACCUAUAUCAAGAUCAACUCAACAAGAUCUACCAUAUUUAUUGUAGACAUAUGCAUCGACAACCGCCCUUUUAAAGUUUUUAUAAAUAGAAAGGAAGAGGGGGUUGGAGAUCUCAAAUGUGGUGAUGUUGGGGAGACCAAUAGAUUGGGAAGAUGUUGCAUAUGAGCAUGGAGUAAAUGAAAUGGCUAUGAAAUAAAUUCCAUGCUCAUUAAUGUUAUCUUCGUCUCCAAUCUGAAUUGGUCUCACUUAUGUCCUCUUCUAUAGUUGGAUGAAUCCCAUUUUCAAAGGGAGUCAAGAACUCACCAUUUGAAAUUGAGCCAAAGUCAGAAUCCAUUAAGGCUUUCUCCUUAUCCAUCCAUUCUACACAUUCUAGCCAUUUAGAACUUGUGAUCAGGAAAGGGGAGCUAAUAGAAUUUUCUAUAUGGCUUAGCUCUCCUUCACUUGAUAUGUCAUCCUCGACUUCUUCAUAAGAGGAACUAGGACAUUCUCUAAGAGAACCAUCAUUGUAAGGAUUUGAAUUGUCUAUGCUUGAAAGUUUCUUAUGGAACGAGAAGUCUAAACCAUCAGUAUCUGAAAGAAUUAAGGUCGGAAUUCCUUCCUCCCUUGGAGAAUUUUGGGGUAUCGAUGGUUUAGGAUCGAUAGAUAAAGUUUGGGAUUGAAGUGAUUGUGAUCUGGCUAUCGAAAUUUCUUCUUCUUGUCUAGGAAUUGGUUCUUUCUCUUUCUCAAGGAUAUAAAAGCUAGGAGACUUUCCGCUCAUUAAAUCAAUCAAAUUCCAAGCUUCACUAGCGGGUAGGUGAUAGAAGGAUCCUAUGGAGGCUGUAUUCAAUGUUUGCUUAUUUUCCAUACUAAGGCCCUCAAAAAAGUGAAUUAGAAGAACUUCUUCUAGAAUAUAAAGCUUUGGGCCAGUGAGAGUAAGAUUAAUAAAGCGGUCCCAUGAUUUGCCGAGAGAUUCUUCUUCCAGUUGUCUAAAAGAAAGAAUCUCACGCCGAAGUUCCGCCACUUUGGAGAAUGGAAAAUACUUAGAGAGAAAACUAUUGUGUAGCUCCUUCCAAUCUCCAUGAGCACUUCCUAUGUUGAGUUUAUACCAAUGUCUAGCUUUUCCUGUUAAAGAGAACGGAAAGAGCUUCCAUUUAAGGGUCUCGUCGGACAUGCCUUCUAUGCGAAGGAGGUCACAGACUCGAUAAAACUCUCUUAGGUGUGUGUAUGGGUUUUCCUCACCUUCUCUUGAGAAAGGUUGUUUUUGUAUAAAUUCUAUGUAUUCGGGGUCUAUCUCAAAACUAGAUGCUAUGAUAGGCUUUGAAGAUUUUGGUGGUUCGAGAUGUGUGCCCGUAGGUCUAUGAAAUUCAUAGAUAGACAUGUUUGAAUUCAUGACAGACCAGAGAUCAAGGAUUAGAUAAGAAGAAUGAAUAGCAGAGAUAAGGCAAAAGAUAAAAUAAAAAGUAUAUAUUUUUUUUAUUUUUUAGAAAAUGAUUAAGCUAGUUCGUAGUCAACUCAGCAACCGUCUCCCCGGCAACGGCGCCAAAAAUGCUUGUUGACACUUGCUAACACCACUUGAAUACUAGGUUGUCAUCCCCAGCAUGGCACUAGAGUGUACUAUGGUAUUUAUACGCACAUAGAUAAAUCCGCAAGCGCACGGAUACCGUUGUAGCUUUUACCCAGUUAAAGGUUUUAUCAUAUCCACAGGGAAACGGGAGAACCAACUACGCUCUAACUUAACCAAGAUAGAUAGAUAAGUGUAAAUAGGAAAGAUGGUAGAAUUGAAUAAGAACAAUAUUAAAGGUAAGAUAACAAUGAGUGAUAAUAUGGGAAUAGAGAGUAGAGCAAUCUAGUAUAUGAGCGAUGGUAGCAGAAUAGAGAGGAUAACUAUGGUUUCUCUACUUCAAAGGGGUAUGUCUAUGUCUAGGACGAACCACGUGAUAAGAAUACACCACAAAGGUGCUUAUCUAUAGGCCGAUAAACUCUACCCGUCCUGCUAACAGGAGGUGGACUACAGGGGACCAACGUAACUGUCACCUACACGGCCUACCACACGAUCCAGCUAGACAGGGGAUAUCUACAAGUAAUCUAGGUCUAAGCACCACGCUUACACCUAUACUACAACUCUAACCUAUAGGGUCCUAUAGAUCAGAAGUACUCAAAAGAGUUGUGAACCAGAACAUACAUGAUUAGUAAUUGCAUAAUGAAUUAGAAGUAGAUUACUAGAGUCAUCCCAUGAGCAAGCUUGAUUAGAGCUUGAUCAUGGCGAAGUACAAUCGGAGGAAGAACCGACAGGCCGGCCUCUCCUCCAAUCCUCCCUCGCUCUCCAUCUCGCUACUAUCUAGAUCUACUCUAGUUUAGAGAUGAGAGGAGAGCUCUCAUCUCCAAACCCUAGCUUUUGCUCUGUCUAUGAAUAAUGAAUAGGGAUCAAGGGGUGCCUCCUCCAGGGGCCGGGGGGUCAGCUUAUAUAGUCCCCUCAAGUGAAUCUGGGCCGUUGGAUCAAACUGACGUUGAUUGAAUGGUUAUUCUUGAUCCUUUAGGUCGGUGGAGCAUAAUCCCCGAAGCGAGUCCUGAUUGGACUCUGUAGCUGGGCGGGCGCCCAAGGGGGGAGGGCGGGCGCCCUGCCCCCGAGCCCGCUCGGCUUCCCGUUCGUUCCUGUGGCUUCUGGAGUCUUCUAGAUGAUAGAAAAUCGCGCGGCACAUUAAUAUCUCUAUGUAAACCCGACGUGUGGGCCUUUCCUCCAUAUUUCCUGAUAACCCCCUGCAGAAAUAGACAAACACCAAAACUUGUGGAAUUCUGUCAAAUAAAACCCUAAGUCUAGGUGUUGGUUGCAUUUGGAUCCUUUUCUUUAUUUUUUUGAUGAUUAAAUUUGAUACUUAAGGACCGUCAACAUUGUAUACAAAGUUCAGCAAGUGUGAGUUCUGGCUGAAGAACGUCCCUUUCUUAGGGCACAUUCUGUCAGAAGAAGGAAUUGAUGUGGAUCCAUCAAAAGUAUAGGAAGUUAUGGACUGGAAGGCACCAACUUCUGUCUUGGAAGUUCAAAGCUUUCUUGGUUUAGCCGGGUAUUAUCGUCGUUUCAUUCCCGACUUCUCCAAGAUAGCUAAGCCAAUGACCAGUUUGCUACAAAAGGAUCAUAAGUUUGCUUGGACAGAAGGGUGUGAAGUAGCCUUCCGCACCUUGCGAAAGCUACUGACCACUGCUCCUGUUCUUGCACAACCAAAUAUCGAAAAGCCUUUUGAUGUGUUCUGUGACGCAUCGAAAAGUGGUUUAGGAUGUGUGCUGAUGCAAGAAGGCAGGGUUAUAGCUUAUGCUUCACGAUAGUUGAGAAAGCAUGAAAUCAACUAUCCGACUCACGACCUUGAGCUAGCAGCCGUUGUGCACGCUCUGAAGAUCUGGAGGCACUAUCUGCUGGGGAAUAAGUGUCAUAUCUACACAGAUCAUAAAAGCUUGAAGUACAUCUUCACUCAAUCCGAACUAAAUAUGAGGCAGCGAAGAUGGUUAGAGCUGAUCAAGGAUUACGACCUUGAAGUCCACUAUCACCCAGGAAAAGCUAAUGUGGUAGCAGAUGCUUUAAGUCGCAAAUCACACUAUCAAGUUGUUCAACCUUUGUUUGAAGAUGGUUUGAAUCUCAUGCAUCCUGAAGUUUUAUGUCACAUACAGCUUAGUUGCUCACUCGAGAGCCAAGUGAUCGAAGGUCAGAAAUCAGACAAGGGUAUUGCUCAUAUCAAAGAGAAGAUCAAAGAUGUCCCAAGAACUCAGUUUUGGGUACACGAGAAAGGUGUAUUGUGGUUUCAGCACCAGUUGGUAGUUCCGAAGAAUCGAGAACUAAAGAACAUAAUCAUGGAUGAAGCACACCUUUCAAAACUUUCUAUCCAUCCUGGUAGUAGUAAGAUGUAUCAAGACCUGAGGUCUCACUUUUGGUGGACCAAAAUGAAGAAAGAGAUAGCAGCAUAUGUGACCCGCUGUGAUACAUGUUGCAGAGUCAAAGCUAUACACAUGAAACCUGCAGGGUUGUUGCAACCCUUGUCAGUUCCAGAGUGGAAGUGGGAAGAGGUCAGCAUGGACUUUAUCACAGGGUUGCCCACUACACGGAAGGGGAAUGACUCGAUUUGGGUGAUCGUAGAUUGGUUGACCAAGUCAGCUCAUUUCAUUCCAGUUAAGAACACGUACAGACCUCCUGAGUAUGCUGAUAUAUACAUGGCUGAGAUUUUCAAGUUGCAUGGUAUUCCCAAGACCAUCAUAUCGGAUAGAGGACCGCAGUUCACCGCUCACUUUUGGGAGUGAAUACAUAAGGGUUUGGGGACUAAUCUAGUAAGAAGUACCGCGUAUCACCCCCAAACCUCGGGUCAAACGGAAAGACUCAAUCAGGUGCUCGAAGAUAUGUUGAGAGCUUGUGUGUUAUCUUCAAAGGGAUAUUGGGAAUCGUGGUUACCUUUGGCUGAAUUCUCUUACAACAAUAGCUAUCAAGAGAGCAUCAAGAUGGCUCCGUUCGAAGCUUUGUAUGGUUGAAAGUGUAGAACUCCGUUAAACUGGGUUGAACCUGGUGAAAGAAGGUACUAUGGUAUCGACUUCGUGAACGAUGCUGAGAAGAAAGUGCAGAUCAUACAACAACAUAUGAGAGCCACACAAUCACGAUAGAAAAGCUAUGCUGACAAGAGAAGAAGACCACUUGAGUUUAAGGUAGGUGACUAUGUAUACCUCAAGGUUACACGAAUGAAGAAAGUUCAGCGCUUCCGAGUUCGAAGCAAGCUUGCACCUCGAUAUGUAGGACCGUACCCGAUAAUAGAAAGGAAGGGCCCUGUGGCCUACAAGAUUCAGUUACCUAAAGAGUUGAGCUCAAUCUUUCCGGUUUUUCAUGUAUCCCAGUUGAGAAAGUGUUUGAAAGUACCCGAGCAGAGGGUUGAACCUCGGGGAAUCAAGAUAAAGGCAGAUUUGGAAUAUAAGGAGCUACAAGUGGGUAUUGUAGAUACCAAGGAGCGGGUAACCCGAAAUAGAGUUGUCAAACCCUACAAGGUGGUGUGGAGUCAUCAUGAUAAUAGAGACACCACUGUUGCGUAUUCUUAACGACAUUACCAAAAGUAGACUUAGUUUUCUAAUUCUGAUAACGGCGCCAAAAAUGCCAAAUCUAUCUCUCAUACCACUUAAGCCAAAUUGUCAUCCCCAGCAUGACAUGAGACACGCGGUAUUGAAAUAUGCAGUUGCUCAUCUAAAUAAAUAAUGAAUGGGAUCUGCAAGCGCACAGAUUAAUAUCGAUGUAGCAUUUUAACCGGGAAGUAUUCCAGGUAUCGUUAUUUAUAUUUUUACCACUGGGAAGGGAUUAGUAACCAUCAAUGUUGAUUAUAGAAUAGAAUAUAAGAUUGAGUAUCUAUCAUUGCAUGUAUAAUUGAGAACAUUUAUCUAACUCUUUCAUACAGGGAUAAGUGUCACAUAAAGGAUUUAAAGUAAUGAAUAGUGACAAAGAUAAUUAAUCUGAUCAGCAUAACUUAGCCACAUAUAAAUAUGAUAAGCACCUCAAUUAGAUAUUCUUGCAAGUCAUUAGCAUGGAAUUAGAACGAACUACAAGAAUAUUUCCUAAGUUAUUCUCAACUAUAUAGUCUAGCAUUAUCAUAGUUAGUGCAAUUAUACUUAGCAAUCAUUGUGAGAUGAGACUACGCCCAUGCAUAGUGAUAUUAGCAAGGAAUAUGAGAAACAUCGUAAUCACUCCCCUAUAAUAAUGUUGCUUUGCCAGCCCAAUACACGAGAGGGGGACUAUAUAAGAAUCAAUGAAGCUGUCACUAUCACGAACUACCCGGCGAUCUGGCAUAUUGGGUACAAUCGUAGAUAAAUACGAUAUAAGCACCACGCCUACACAAUAUCUAUCAUUUACCCAUGGAUCCGAUGGAUAAACGCUAUACGAUCCUAAACAUAUAUAUAGAUCCAAUCUAACUAAGCCAAGUAUAACUAUGAUAAACUAAGAACAAUAUAAUUGCAAAUAUAAACAAGUAGAGCAAAGUCAUAACCAAUAUAUUAAAGUAGAACAAAGUCAUAUUCAUAAUAUUGAAGAACAAAGAUGAACAAUUGAAGAACAAUAGAGAAUUACCAAGAAUCCUCUUGACAGAUCCAGAAACCAAUCGAAGAUUGACUCCUUCUAGUUCUAAUCCUAUGUAGCUAUGCUAAUCUAGAUGUCUAAUUGAUGUGGUGUCUCUAUGCUCUAUCAGAGGCUUCUUCUCCCUUGAUCAAUAAUGAAUUAGGGUUGAGAGGCUCUCUCCUCCAGGGGCCAGGGGGUCUGGUUUUAUAGUCCUUCCAAGUGAAUAUGGGUCGUUGGAUCAAACCGACAUUGAUUGAACGGUUAUCCUUGAUCCUUUAGGUCGGUGGAGCUUGAUCCCGAAAGAGAGUCCUGAUUGGACUCCAGCAGGGGGCGGGCACCCUGGUCCCUAGGGCGGGCGCCCUGGGCUAGGCCCCAUUCUGCCUCCGCUUCGUUCUCGUGGCUUCUAGAAUCUUCUAGAUGUAAGAUAAUUGCGCGGCACAUUAAUAUCUCUAUGUAAUCCCGACGUGUGGGCCUUUUUUCCAUAUUUCCUGAUAACCCCCUGCAGAAAUAGACAAACACUAAAACUCGUGAAAUUCUAUCAGAUAAAACCCUAAGUCUGGAUGUUGAUUUCAUUUGGAUCCUUUUCUUUAUUUAUUUGAUAAUUAAAUUUGAUACUUAAGGACCGUCAACAAACUCCCCCAAGCUUACCUCUUGCUCGUCCCUAAGCAAGGAUAAUCUUAGCGAAGGAUCAGAAGUUGUUAUAAUGCCUUUAAAAUUGACGGUACACAUGCUUUUAAAUAAGAUCUCAUCUCUGAGUUAGAGUAAACUGUCAAGACUUAAAACUUAUUCAUUUUUCCUUUCACCAUGGGACUUGUAAGCGUCUCUUCUGUCUUGAGUAGUUAAAAGAUAGAACGGUCUAGUCAAGUGUCAUGUCUCUUAUUCUUGAUUAGCUAUAGUUCUGAAGUUUUUGUAGAUUUUCAAAUAAAACUCAGAGAUUCCUUGUAUGACUCUCUUUUUUGUGGUAUUUCUGGAUCCUCACCAAGGUAGUGAUGGUACAUGCCUUCUCUCAAAAUAUGUCGUAUUUGUGGUAUAAGGCAUAGUGACAUUUCCUUCUCUCUCACCCUACUGUAAUAAGGCUUUAAUAUCUAGAGCUCAUAGAUGGGAGAUAAAGUAUACAUACUCACAAGACAUUUAUUGUAUAGUCAAACCAUGGAUCCAAAGAAACAAAUCAAUAAGUCAAAUCAAGAUGUGCAUGUGUGGCGAAUGAAUAGUGUAUGGUGAUAAUGGUGAUAACAAUGGUGAAAGCCUAAUUCUACUUUUGCUCUUUUAAGGGGAUACAUACCUUCCUUGCUUUUUAAAACUUUUGAGGAGAAUGAGAUGCUCUUCUUUUUCUUUCCUCUCAGGUGGGAAUCUUGUACCUCUAAUUCAACUGUCGGACACUUGUCCAUUUUUACCUCUCGUCUCACUUCUUUUUUUCUUUCGAGGUUCCGGGCACUUGCCCCUUUUUAUUUCCUCGCAUCUUCUCUUUUUUUCUUCUUUUUUUAGAGCACUCAUCUCAUGAAAUAAUAUAGCAAGUGUUAGUAAUAAAGAUAACUUGAGCAUUAUUUCACAGGGAAAAAUAGAAAUAUUUUUGGCUAUUCUCUCCCGGAUUAGGAAUAGAAUAUUUUUUGGGUGGUUCUGCAGAUGGAAAUGGGUGGAUAUAUGUGGAUGCGUACUUCCGGAGUAGAAGUAGCUUGUGUGAGUGAACGUGCAAGUGAAUCUUGAUUUUAACCACAUGACAAGCUCCUCAGGGUCUACACAGCUUGACCACACUCAAUGCGCAUAAGUAGUAAAAGUAGAUGCGUGGCUCAAAGUCUAGCAAGCAUGUAUAUAUGGCUGUGGUAGGAAUUUAAACUCUCAUCAUACAGGAACUCAUCAUGCAAUAUUUUAAAGAUUUUCAAAGAUAAAAUUCUCCAGAAUUCUAGCAUCUCUAGGAACAGAUAAACAGCAGCUAAACCUUCCCAUAUCAUAUCCGUUAAGAACCUAGACUUUAGAUCAAGUUUUCUUCCCACAAGUUUAGGUUUUGAGCAAGCUUUAAAUUAUAACAGUUAUGUCUAAUCUUGAGAGAAAACUUCCAUUCGAAAAUUAGGCAGAGCAACUAUUCAUCAUAUCC
RNAcentral lists this long non-coding RNA (51647 nucleotides) under Sorghum bicolor (sorghum). Its description in RNAcentral is "long non-coding RNA (SBIC_LNC008344)". The record is from RNAcentral. Lineage: Eukaryota; Viridiplantae; Streptophyta; Magnoliopsida; Poales; Poaceae.